UUUUUUUUUGUCGUUGUUCCAUAAAAACACUUUGCUUCUAUUGCCAAAAUGACACGCCUUUAACCAUCCCUUUGACAAAAUACCCGACCUGUAGGACCCUCCAAUCAUAUUUUCUUGCGGACGAUUUUGCCCCUGCGAUGGUUUGCCCUGACCCUCUGCUAUCGGUCGAACUUAACCGGGAUCGAUCAGUGUCAGAGGCGCCUCCUCAUGCACGGCUCACUCAGCAUUUUUUCACUUUUUCAGGACCAACUGAACUUAACAAUGUGCAGCCAGUACCUUUUAUGCGUUGCCAAGAUAAAAAAUACAGNNNNNNNNNNNNNNNNNNNNNNNNNNNNNNNNNNNNNNNNNNNNNNNNNNNNNNNNNNNNNNNNNNNNNNNNNNNNNNNNNNNNNNNNNNNNNNNNNNNNNNNNNNNNNNNNNNNNNNNNNNNNNNNNNNNNNNNNNNNNNNNNNNNNNNNNNNNNNNNNNNNNNNNNNNNNNNNNNNNNNNNNNNNNNNNNNNNNNNNNNNNNNNNNNNNNNNNNNNNNNNNNNNNNNNNNNNNNNNNNNNNNNNNNNNNNNNNNNNNNNNNNNNNNNNNNNNNNNGGAGUAACAGUGUUCACUUAAUCAAACAGGGAGUAUCUGCAGGAGCACAAUUUCUAGGAGACUGCAGUAUAAUUGCCAUCUUUGACUGCAGUUUAUGAUUACUCCAGUUCAAAAUUAUGAUUACUGCAGUGCCGGCCGAGCUAACCUCGCUGCCAAAACGAAUUCUAAUGAGUAGUUGAACAACACUGCAUGCGAAUUCUCAUACUGGAAAGGAACACAGAAACUGGCAAGUCAAAUGUCAUGGAAAACUCCACACAGGAACACACAACACGCAACAAAUUCCAACUUCUACGUACAUACUUGGUACCUCCAACACAGCACAGCUACCUGCACAUUUCUGCUGGACGGUAUAAACCCUGAAGCUCUAAGCCUCUAAGGCACACACUUUCUCCUGGNNNNNNNNNNNNNNNNNNNNNNNNNNNNNNNNNNNNNNNNNNNNNNNNNNNNNNNNNNNNNNNNNNNNNNNNNNNNNNNNNNNNNNNNNNNNNNNNNNNNCCCUACAGGGGCCAUGUGAUGACGUCGUGCCAGAUCCGGAGGAUUUCUGACAUCAUACGGUUUUCCGUGGAUUCAAACGGUUGGACGAGUCAUGUCGUCGAAGUAAAUUCGCCACCUGAUGGCCGAAACUUCCCCUUCCUCGUCUGCAAAAGGGAGACGCAUCUCUCUAAUACAUCACAUAGGAUUUUCCAUGCCGCUUCUGGGAAUGAUUUCACGUGUCGCCUUGCAGAUCUGCAAUUUCCGGCACUGAAAUCCUAGAAAUGCAAUAAAUGUCUCAAAUAUUACAAACGGGCCAGGAAAAAGCGGGGGGCUCACACGUAUCAUUCGAUGGCCUCCUUUGAGAGCACGGAAAGUUUCGAGACCAACGGAGCAGUAGGAUCAACACUUCCUUCACAAAACUGACACCUUCCCUCUCAAUACCGAGAGACUACCACGGAGAUGGUGCGGUUUACAAACGGCCUCAUGUGAGGCCUAUUCGAAACGCGCCCACCACACCCUACAGNNNNNNNNNNNNNNNNNNNNNNNNNNNNNNNNNNNNNNNNNNNNNNNNNNNNNNNNNNNNNNNNNNNNNNNNNNNNNNNNNNNNNNNNNNNNNNNNNNNNAGCAUGCCAACUUUCAACAUUUUCAGAGUUCAUUUGUAGUGCUUUUCAGUUUCAGGGUCAACUAGCUCAAUACAAAUAAGUAAAUCCACGAAAUAUACCAAAUGAAGUCAGAAAUUGUUGAAAUUUUGUGCUGUGCCUUUGAAUGGUCCAUUUUGAACACACAAAAAGUAUGGAGUUCAAAUAAGUUCACAAAAAUCAAAUCCCUUUGUAAGAGAUGAGUUCUCGUUCGAAACCCUGAUACUUCGAGAGAGAUUGUCCGUUUUGUACACGAAGUGCAUCCAGUUUUUGUCGUAGCCCUCUCAACUUUUAACACAUGCUAUGUGGGUGAAAUGAUGAUAGCAUGCCAACUUUCAACAUUUUCAGAGUUCAUUUGUAGUGCUUUUCAAUUUCAAGGUCAACUAGCUCAAAAAAAAUAAGUAAAUCCACGAAAUAUACCAAAUGAAGUAAAAAAGUAUGGAGUUCAAAAAACCACAUUAUGAAAUUAAAUAUUAUCAUUGGCGAUUCAUCUCUAUUAUGAAAUCAAAUAUAUCAAAAAACCAUUGCAGAACAUAUGACCAAAUUAAUACAAGUUCAUCAUCACAUUAAAGCCAAAGAACAGUAGUGAUCAAAUGUUAUUAUUGCAAAAAAUAAAUACAUAAAAUUCUCUCAUAAAACAACAUACAACUAUGUAAAACAUUUAAAUGCAACAACAAACGCGAUCAAAAUCGCAACUAAGGUAACAAUUGACCCAACAGCAUAAUGAUACCAAGCCUCUUUAUCAAUGACAUAUUUUCUAAUAUUCCUAAUCUUCAAGCGCAUUUCAUCCAUCUUCAAGCGCAUUGCAUCCAUCUUCAACCGCAUCGCAUCGAUCUUCAUCUUGUGAUCAUCGAUGACAUCGGCGACAUGCCACUCCAGUUCCAUAUUCUUAUCCUCAAUUAUUUUCAAUUUUUUCUUCAAUUUUCUUUUUCAACCAAAUUUAACUUCUCGAUAAGAAUUUUUAUGUGGGUUGGAAUUUCCGGUUCACAUACCUCCUAGAUUAAAAAAAAUAUAUGUCAUAAUUGUCAUAAACACUAAAUAAAACAAAUAGUUAUAAAAGAUAAUAUAUACCACAUCCGAAUCAUAGAGAGGACGAGAGCCGACGGAGGCGGAUACCAAAACCAUCGCACUAUAUAAUAACAAAACAUAAUGAAAGUGAGUAAUUUAUACAAGUAUGUAUGUAAAUCAUACAAGUAAGAUUUUUUUAAUUUUAAAAAGAAGAUAAGAACAAGAGGCUCACCACGGUGGUGCUCGCAGUUGGUGCAUGCCAAACCUAGACAAAUAUUAAGGAAAAUGGAGCUUGGAGGUCGAGCUUGGAGAGGAGAAAGCUUAAGUAGAGUGGCUCGGGCAUUUCAUCGAACACGUCAUGUGCAUGAAAUAGAGUGGCAAGAGCAUGGCAUGGUCACACUUCAACAACCAAAAAACAGGGGAUAUGGUGGGCAGGGGCGAGGGUUUAUAUAGGCAAAACUUGAGUCCCGGUUCUUUCCAUGCCCCGGGACUAAAGGCCCCUACUUCCCGCCUUCUGGUCAGCCGAAAAAGGGCCUUUAGUCCCGGAUCGUGGCUCCACCCGGGACUAAAGGGGUGUCUUUAGUCCCGGUUCGAGCCNNNNNNNNNNNNNNNNNNNNNNNNNNNNNNNNNNNNNNNNNNNNNNNNNNNNNNNNNNNNNNNNNNNNNNNNNNNNNNNNNNNNNNNNNNNNNNNNNNNNUAUAACUCACUGACACCGGAGGAAUGCUUUGUGUGUAUCAAACGUCGCAACGUAACUGGGUGACUAUAAAGAUGCUCUACAGGUAUCUCCGAAGGUGUUAGUUGAGUUAGUAUGGAUCAAGACUGGGAUUUGUCACUCCGUGUGACGAAGAGGUAUCUCGGGGCCCACUCGGUAAUACAACAUCACACACAAGCCUUGCAAGCAAUGUAACUUAGUGUAAGUUGCGGGAUCUUGUAUUACGGAACGAGUAAAGAGACUUGCCGGUAAACGAGGUUGAAAUAGGUAUACGGAUUCUGACGAUCGAAUCUCGGGCAAGUAACAUACCGAAGGACAAAGGGAAUGACAUACGGGAUUAUACGAAUCCUUGGCACUGAGGUUCAAACGAUAAGAUCUUCGUAGAAUAUGUAGGAUCCAAUAUGGGCAUCCAGGUCCCGCUGUUGGAUAUUGACCGAGGAGUCUCUCGGGUCAUGUCUACAUAGUUCUCGAACCCGCAGGGUCUGCACACUUAAGGUUCGACAUUGUUUUAUGCGUAUUUGAGUUAUAUGGUUGGUUACCGAAUGUUGUUCGGAGUCCCGGAUGAGAUCACGGACGUCACGAGGAUUUCCGGAAUAGUCCGGAAACGAAGAUUGAUAUAUAGGAUGACCUCAUUUGAUUACCGGAAGGUUUUCGGAGUUACCGGGAAUGUACCGGGAAUGACGAAUGGGUUCCGGGAGUUCACCGGAGGGGGGCAACCCACUCCGAGGAAGCCCAUAGGUAUUUGGGGGGGUCACACCAGCCCUUAGUGGGCUGGUGGGACAGCCCACCAAUCCCCUAUGCGCCAAGAGAGAAAAAAUCAAAGGAAAGAAAAAAAAAAGGGAAAGAAGUGGGAAGGGGGAAGGACUCCCUCCCACCAAACCAAGUAGGACUCGGUUUGGGGGGGGAGAGUCCUCCCCCCUGGCUCGGCCGACCCCUUGGGGAUCCCUUGGACCCCAAGGCAAGGUCCCCCUCCCUCCUCCUAUAUAUAUGGGGCUUUUAGGGCAGAUUUGAGACGACUUUCUCACGGCUGCCCGACCACAUACCUCCAUAGUUUUUCCUCUAGAUCGUGUUUCUGCGGAGCUCGGGCGGAGCCCUGCUGAGACAAGAUCAUCACCAACCUCCGGAGCGCCGUCACGCUGCCGGAGAACUCUUCUACCUCUCCGUCUCUCUUGCUGGAUCAAAAAGGCCGAGAUCAUCGUCGAGUUGUACGUGUGCUGAACGCGGAGGUGCCGUCCGUUCGGUACUAGAUCGUGGGACUGAUCGCGGGAUUGUUCGCGGGGCGGAUCGAGGGACGUGAGGACGUUCCACUACAUAAACCGCGUUCUCUAACGCUUCUGCUCUACGAUCUACAAGGGUACGUAGAUCACUCAUCCCCUCUCGUAGAUGGACAUCACCAUGAUAGGUCUUCGUGCGCGUAGGAAAAAUUUUGUUUCCCAUGCGACGUUCCCCAACAGAAAUAAGUACCAGUACCUGAGAUUUUGAUGGUCUCUAGGAAUGUGAAAAUUAGAUACUUGUGACUGCUAUAAAGUCUAUGUUAGUGAAAUUCCAUCAUUUGAAUUUCANNNNNNNNNNNNNNNNNNNNNNNNNNNNNNNNNNNNNNNNNNNNNNNNNNNNNNNNNNNNNNNNNNNNNNNNNNNNNNNNNNNNNNNNNNNNNNNNNNNNUUGCUUCUUGAAUGUGUCAGCAGCAUUCUUAGGAAGCUUGGGUUCGCCCGUAGGCAUUAUCACCUCAAAGGUGUAAUGCGUCCGUGCAUCCAACUUUCUAGUCGGGCCUCGUUUCGUAGAUUUGCUCGAUGUGGAGGCCUAAGAGGGAGAAACAUUCGUAAAAUGAAUGUAUAUGUAUACAAUAUAGAGCUAUCUCCAAUAUUUUUCACAUAUUACAAGUGAUUGUCGAACUUCAUAUGUAUACCUCUCCGGAUUUUAUUAUUUCUUCACCGGCUUCUCCACCGGCUUCUCCAUCAGUGGAGCUAUCACCUUCUCCGUCAUUGGACCUAUCUCCUGCCUCAUCGGCUUCAUCUUCGUGUCGCUCGACCUCCAUUCCAUAUCCGGAGUCGUUUAGAUAUGACGUCGGAGAUUCGGCUGGUUCAACGUCGGGGCCGUCUUCGAUUAUAUCUUCGAGAAGUUCUUCCUCUUCGAGGUUCUUGAUAUGUGGAUCCAUAGUUCUGCAAAAAACGGACAUUUGAUUAACUAAUAUACUAACAAACUAUAUAAGAGGGGUUGGAAACUUCGAAGGCUCGUUUUAUAUAGGAGGACCUUUAGUCCCGGGUCUUGGCUAGAACCUAAACUCUAAAAUACCAGCUGGGCGGAGCCCAGUCCCGGACAAUUAAGCAUAUACAAUAGCAAAAUUAAACUAGUUCUAUUAAUUUUCUUGCUAAAAAUAAACUAUUAACACUUAAGCAUAUACAAUAGAAAAAUUAAACUAUUAACACUUAAGCAUAUACAAUAGCAAAAUUCAGCAAUAAUCUAAGAAACACUAUUAACACUUAAGCAUAUACACUAUACAAUAGCAAAAUUAAAUGACAAAAAAAAUAUUUCUUCUUCUUGUAACCCUAAACUAAUUUUUCCUCUUCUUCUAUUUCUCCUCUUCUUAUACUUCUUCUUCUACUUCUACUUCUCCUCUUCUUCUACUACUUCUCCUCUCCUCUUCUUAUAUUUUUCCUCUUCUUCUCCUCUCCUCCUCUUCUUAUUCUCCGUUUUCUUCUUUUCUUCUCCUCCUCUUCUUAUUCUCCUUUUUCUUCCUUUCUUCUCCUUUUUCUUCCUUUCUUCUCCUUUUUUUCCUUUCUUCUCCUUUUUCUUCCUUUCUUCUAUUUUUCUUCCUUUCUUCUCCUUUUUCUUCCUUUCUUCUCAUUUUUCUUCUUUUCUUCUCCUUUUUCUUCCUUUCUUCUCCUUUUUCUCCUUUUCUUCUCCUUUUUCUUCCUUUCUUCUCCUUUUUCUUCUUUUCUUCUNNNNNNNNNNCCUUUUUCUUCUUUUCUUCUCCUUUUUCUUCCUUUCUUCUCCUUUUUCUUCUCCUUUUUUCCUUUCUUCUCCUUUUUCUUCCUUUCUUCUAUUUUUCUUCAUUUCUUCUCCUUUUUCUUCCUUUCUUCUCCUUUUUCUUCUUUUCUUCUCCUUUUUCUUCAUUUCUUCUCCUUUUUCUUCUUUUCUUCUCCUUUUUCUUCUUUUCUUCUCUUUUUUUCUUCCUUUCUUCUCCUUUUUCUUCCUUUCUUCUCCUUUCUCUUCUUUGCUUGUGCUGGCCGGAGUGUUGGGGAGGAGGGGGCGUGGGGCUUACCGGCCGGAGGUNNNNNNNNNNUUUUUUUUCCUUUCUUCUCCUUUUUCUUCCUUUCUUCUCCUUUUUCUUCUUUGCUUGUGCCGGCCGGAGUGUUGGGGAGGAGGGGGCGUGGGGCUUACCGGCCGGAGGUGUCGACGGUGCGCGGCGAGGAGGGCGGUGCGCGGCGAGGAGGACGGCGGCGGCGAGCAGGACGACGGCGACGGCGAGGAGGACGGCAGGCGAUGGCGAGCAGGACGGCGGGCAGCCUGACGGCGUCAUCGAGUUCGUCGCUUGCCGCCGUCCUCUUCUUCUACUUCUUCUUCUACUUCUACUUCUCCUCUUCUUCUACUACUUCUCCUNNNNNNNNNNNNNNNNNNNNNNNNNNNNNNNNNNNNNNNNNNNNNNNNNNNNNNNNNNNNNNNNNNNNNNNNNNNNNNNNNNNNNNNNNNNNNNNNNNNNGGAAGGGAGGGGGAGGGGGAGGCGGCUAGGGUUGGGAGGGAGGGAGGGAGACAUGUGUGAGAGUCAGGAAGGGAGAGGGAGAAGUUGAUGUAGUGGUGCAGAGAUGAAGCAGUUCUUCUACUCUUAUCCUUGAUGGUUUGUUGUGUAGACAUCUUCCAUUCUUGUGCGGCCGAGCAACUCUUAUAAAUUGUGACCAGAGCAUGUAGUUGUACGGCUGUAAGCCACGCCCUAUGGAUUGGUAAAAUACUUGAUUUGUUUGUAAUAUUAGACAAUGUCCCGCGCGUUGCUGCGAAAAAAUUGUUAAAAAUAUAUGGAUAAAUGUUAAAAAACUAAUGAAAAUGCAAAAACCAUUAUAAAAAUAUCUUGUUUAAUUACCUAGAAAAAAAAAUCAUGCAUGAGGAUAUGUUUUGCAUGAAGAGAUUAAUAAAAAAAGUAACUUACAACUACAUGCAUGAUUUGAUGAUGUGGCAUUGUUGCAUGAAGAGAAAAAUUGGAUAAUGGGUUCUAGCUAUUUAAGAAUAGAAGAUUUAGUAUUGUUUUUAAAGCGCUGUAAUUGUGCGGCUUGCAGCCCCAUCAUAUGGAUUGGUAAAAUACUUGAUAUUUUUAUAAGAUUUGGUACUAUCUUCAAAGCGGCUGCACAACACGCCAAUGGAUUGAUAAAAUACAUUUUGUUGUGUGAUUUGGUAGUUUUUUACUUUUCACUUUGACUUGAAAUCCUCGGCUAAACCCUAACCCUAAACCUGGUGGUUUUGCUUCUUUGAUAUAUAGAGGGUUGUGCGCCAUGCUUUAUUUGUAUGUUUCAGUGAAGUUUUGUAUAUACUUUGUUGGUCGCGAAAUGUUUGAUCUAUGCUUGCGAAUCCGAUAUCCCUUCGGAGAUUCCUUGCUUCUUCUUUACGAAAUACACAUACCACUUCUUUGGCACUGCUUGCUAAUUUAAUCAAAUCAAGCGUAAGAUAUUUUUUUACUAACACUACAUGAAACAGUACAUGUGAGAGACUAUGAGACUUCUUAAAAACAUUGAUGAUUUUCUUCUACAAAAUAAAUUAAGCAGUUUGUUGAACUCUAAUGCCAAUUAUAUAGAAACUUCAAAAUAAGUUGACGUGGGAAAGGACAAUGCAUCUAAAAACCAAACAAACAAAAAAGCGAACUUUGGAAAAUAUAAGCCAUAGAAAACAUGUGCGUCCUCUUAACCUUCAGGGAAAAUAUACAUGAUGUGGAUGUCAGCAUAGUAACCUGGCUCUUCAGAAUUUCAGAAAUCUUUCUAAAGGAUGAUUUCUUAGUGAUAGCAAACAAUAAGAAUGAGAACGAAGCAUUAAAUUUUUUGAAAGCACACGCUAACUAGUUUGUACACUUGCACUCUACACAAUGUGUAGAGUGUUAACUUCUUGUUUCGAAAAAGGUUUGCUUGAUGAUUUCUUCUUCCAGGUGCUACCCACCUCGACAGCUCGUGCAAUAGGAGGAACACUAUGGUGGUCCAAAAUCCUGAAAUUUCUACUCAUCAAGGCAGCCUUUCUGCAUAAUAGGAGCAAUAAUUAACGUCAUUUAUAUACACAAGAAAUACACCAAACAGAAACACCAAACAUACCAAAUUCCAGAGAACUGACUUGUUGCACUCAAGUCUUAUUAAUUUUCAACAUUGAUUCUUCGCAGUUGAUUAACAUAAUAUCUGGAAAAGUUAGUUUUCACAUUAAGUACAAAACAAAUAAUUCAAUGGCAAUGAGCAUGUACUACAGACCCCCAAAAAACCAAGUGUGAUAUGGAUUCAUUGCCAUUCAGAAAAGACAGUAGCAGUAUCACCAUCGAUUAUGUAGAGGAGCAAAAGCUAAUUUUUCAGAUAUUUUAUUUCUACUAAACUUUGAAUGCAUAAUCCACACAACAGUGAUUAAAUCAAUUGACCAAUCAAUAGCACUCCCCAAUGUGCUUUUGCGAUUCUUAAAAUUGUACAGUGAGAAGAGGCACUGAAUUUGUAGAAAACGAAGUGAAGAAGUGAGGAUUACUUACUAUUUUUUGUUGAGAAAGCGAGAGCAACAUCAUUUCCUGAAAUUGUGCUAGCAAAUAGACAUGUCUAAUGCGCAUAGGACUGCUGACGACUUGAUAAAUUUAAUGGCACAUGUCACUAUUUUUUCCUACCAACUGAAUCCAAUCACUAUUUUUUCUCCUCGACAACUUUGAAAAGUUGUCACUUCUAAAAAUUUGCAACAGAACUGAGAAUGAGAUGACUACCUUGAUCACUCCUUUUAAGACACAUGGCAUAAAAAUUGGAAGGUAACUUUUGUGCCCUAUUUCAACUUGGAUGUGCUGAACUAUCUGGUAUUAUUACUGAUAUUACUUUGGUAAGUGAGCUAAGAUGAUGUGAACCGUGUUAGAUUGAUCUCUUUCCCAAUGGGCCCAACGGCCCAUUGGACCUUGACUCACGCCCUGAUCGGGGGCGUCCAGCCCAAGCAAGGCUGGUGGGCCCCUGUCGCGCAGUGCUGUAUAUAGAGGAGGUGGGGACCAUGGCACAGACUACGAGGUUCGCCGCCGCCACUGGUUCCCCACUCCUAACCCUAAUCCGAUCUAGAGGGAUGCACUGAAGCGAUGGGAAGUCCACCGCCGCCGCUACCGCAUCUCUCUCUGCUUCCCCACCGUCGCCACUACGUCACGACGGUCACCGGAGGGAACUCAUCGAGCACGGGAUAAGGUAACAUACCACUACUCUCACCGAACACAUCUAGCCUUGUCGAUCCACGAGAUCUAUCAAUGGUAUGAGGAGCCACGAGGCUUAGAUGUGUUUUCGGUUGAAACACGACAAGGAUAACAUUUCCCCUCCCCGAUAUGAACCCUAGAUGGGCAAAGAAACCGAAGAUGGCCACGGGCCUCGUCGGCAAAGUAGCGCCGCCGCAAGGCCGCGCCUGUUCUUCUCGAUCCCCACACGCAUCGGCAAGCCGAGGUGUGGGGAAGAAGAACCUACCUUCUCAAAGGCAAAGUAUGGAUCUGAAAAGAUCCAAAAGGAAAACAAAGAAAGGAUAUGAUUAGAUCCAAAAGAAAAAGAAAAAACAAAAGAUCGGAUUGGAUCCGAAAGAGCAAAAAAAAAGGGGGGGGAUGCAAAGAAAAGGCCUACACCCCAACCGGGGCAAAGGGCACCACCACCGCGCCCUUGAUGGUGGCGCGUUCACCUUGAAAGUGCUCGCGCGUGCCGGCAAAGGAACGGAGAUGGAGCCACCGUAUCAUGCCGCUGUGCCAUAUCUCUACACGGCAAGGAAAAGGAGCACCACGGCCAACCCACUCGACGGCGGCGCGCUCACCGCAAGGGAACGCGCAACCGGCGAAAGGGGAGGCCACGGCGCCACUAUCUCUUACUCUGCCGACGCCUUGGUUCUCUCUCUGUCUGAGAACUAGAUGGGGGGAGGAGGGUCUAGUCGAGCAAGGAAAAAGAGAGAGAGAAAGAAAGAAAGAAAGAAAGGGGAGGAAGAAGAAGGGCAUGCGCGGCGCGGUGGCCGGAGAGGAAAAUAAAAGACUCGCGAGGGCCAGAAGAGGAGAAAGAGGCGCGUGGGCAGAGAACGCCUCGUCGUCGUCGCGGUGGCCGGCAGGCCAUUGUUGCCUCGGGGCUCCGGCGAGAAGGAGGGAGUGCGCGGCGCGCGAGAGAGCUCCUGAGCGAGCGCGCGCGGGGGGGAGGAACCAGGAACGCGCGACGGGAACACGGGGCCGGCCGCGCAACAGCACGGUUGCCCUUGUGGCUCUCGUCAGUGCCCUGGGAAGAUGCCCUGAGCUCGCUGCGCGCAAGGGUGGAGCAGAGAACGGCGUGGUGUGGGGGAGAAAGGAAGCUCCUAUGGUUGCCUGGUGGCUCGAGCCCUUUUUGUUGCGGGCGAUAUGGACGGGCCACCGUUGGAUCGUAUCCGACGGCCCCGAUCGGCUGGGCAGGAAACCCUAGCGCAGGAUAGGCUUUCGGCCCGAAAGCAACUGGUCACAGGCCAGGCGGAGGUGGGCCGGCCAAGGACGGGGCGACGCCGGCUGGUAGGCUGAGAGCCCAGCGGGAGCAAGGGCUGGCCAGGCCGGUUUUGGCCUAGUUGCUAGAGGCCGCGAUUUUGUUAUUUUUCAUUUUUGUCCAGUUUUGGACAGAUCUGAGAAUAAAUUUUCUCUGCAUGGUUUUCCAACAAAAAUUAUGUUUAGAAAAUAGAAAAGGAAAAUGCAUUCUUAUGCAAAGUAAAUAGAAGGUCUCUGCAGAAUAAAAGAGAAAUUUUUUCUGCAUAGAAAAAUAGAUGUUUCUGAAAACAAAUAGAGUUUUUCAGAAAAAGAAAAGUUCAUGGAUUUUAUAAUAGGAAAAUAAAGUCCAUGAAUUUUUCUUUUUAACAGAAUAUUUUUUUGUAAAAGUAUAUGAAUUUUCAUAUUCACGUUUUUCCGCUGCAAAGUAAAAAAGGUUUAGUCCUUCAAUUAAAUUGGAACCAACGGGAAAAAUUUAAUUGGAAGAACAGUUAUUAGCAAAGUUUUUCCCUUGUGGGUGAAAUAGGAUUCAAACAGAUUCCGCUAUGACAAUAGAAUGAUGUUUGUUUUAAAGUUAAAUAUGGUAUUGUUAUUUUCUGACCAACGUUGAUGAUAACAAUACUAUAAUUGUAUGAGUCAUCUUAUGUUUAAAGCUUAAAUCUCUGAUAAAUUUUGUAUCAAAGUGAUCAAUUUUCGGAGCACAGAUAAAGAAAUGCAUAUGGUUAAUGAUGAUGAUGAUUAUUUCUUAGCAAAGUUGUUCAAUAGAAAUACUAUCAUCACAUUGUUUAUGAGUUAUAUGCAUUAUUUGUAUUUCUGCCCAACGGUGAUAUGGAAUUAAUGUAGAAGAAUGAUGUUUUAUUCUAAUUCUGCCACAACGGUGUUUUAGAAUAUUCCAGAAAGUUUUAAAAGGUUUAAUGUGCAUGAUUUUAAUCAGACCAACGUAGGGUUAUUUUUAUGCUCAUUACCGUUGUUUAUUGGCUAAGUUUCUCAGACUAAAAGUUAUUCAAGCUUUCACUCAUGAAAGCGAAUGUUUGGGCACUACUGACCCGAAAGAUGGAAAAGAAAGGUCAUAACUUGAGGGAAUAAAUUCUCUCUAAAGAAUGGCUUCAAAAGAAAAGAACUCUUGAAUAUUAAUUCAAGAAAAGAAAAGAGAUAGAUCAUUGAGAGUCUUGGUUGACGAAUGUCUUUCAUGUACUCUCUAUGAUGGAGUCUCCUUUUUUCAGUCAACGUGAUUGAAAUGAAACAAGCAACAUGCAUGCUUAAUUUGACCAACGUCGGAUCAAACAUGUGUGUCAAAGAUAAUUCAGAUUUAUUUCUGAAUUUGAUGCAGUCAAAAGAGCCAAUUAUGGCAUUUAUGAUGUCCCAUAAAGGGAAUUACCCGCAUGGCGGGAAAAGUCUGGGAAGAAUGCCUGCGUAACCGGGUAAAGUUGACAUUGUAUUAUGUCAACAAUCCGUGUAUGGCGGGAGAAAUUUUGGCAAAGGUCUUAUCCUGUAUGACAGGAGAAAGUUAUGAUGACUCAUGUGUGGUUAAUGUGUCCCACUAUGGAAGAAAAAGUAUGGAGUAGCUAUUAAGCUUUCCUAGUAUUGACCGUACACCUUAUGUGUAACGGUCAUUAUGCAAUCACUAAAUCCAGAAAGGAUAAAAGUAACAGACGAACCUAAAGACAAGAAUGAUAUGCAAGUGUGACUUGCAAAAGUGACAACUAUAAAGAACUCUCUUGAGUUUCGAAAUGAAAUGAGGAAAAAGUACUCCCAUAGUAGUUAACUUAUAACUUCAUUUUACAUGAAGUGAUAAGAUGAAUGAGCUAGAUAAUCGAAGUUUCCUCAUUUCACAAGAACUAUGAAUGGGUUUCGAAAUUGUGGCAGAAAAGUUCUUGCCACAUUUCGAGGGGGAGAUAGAGACAUGAAAUACACUACAAUGUAUUUCAUGACUCCUCUGUACUUUAGACGAUGUGAUGCACAUUAUGCAUCUAAAGUGAUCCAUUAAUGAAGAAUGUGAUUGUCAAGGGGAGUACGACAGUCAUCUGAAUACCUUCAUUAUGAUACCCCUAAAGAAAAGAAACAGUUGUAUUUUCGGAUCUUUUAUAGUUCUGAAAGCAGACUAAGGAAUACAACAGUGGUGCUUAAAGUGCCAUAAAGAAGAAAGUUUAAAGAUACGUCAUUUCUUCAGUGAAGAUGGAGUAAUCUGGGGGAGCAUGUUGUAUGACCUAUACAACACCUGUUGUUAGCUCUACAAGGGAUCUUGUGAUACAGGUCCCUGUAAAACCUAUUGCCUUUUGAAAAUGGGUGACUGUAGAAUGAAUUUGCCUCUUGGCAAUGACAGAGCAACGACAACCCCAUAUGAAAUUGUUGGAAUUAUGCCCUAGAGGCAAUAAUAAAAGUAUAGUUAUUAUUAUAAUUCCUGUAUCAAGAUAAUAGUUUAUUAUCCAUGCUAUGAUUGUAUUGAAUGAAGACUCAUUUACAUGUGUGGAUACAUAGACAAAACACCGUCCCUAGCAUGCCUCUAGUUGGCUAGCCAGUUGAUCGAUGAUAGUCAGUGUCUUCUGAUUAUGAACAAGGUGUUGUUGCUUGAUAACUAGAUCACGUCAUUGGGAGAAUCACGUGAUGGACUAGACCCAAACUAAUAGACGUAGCAUGUUGAUCGUGUCAUUUUGUUGCUACUGUUUUCUGCGUGUCAAGUAUUUAUUCCUAUGACCAUGAGAUCAUAUAACUCACUGACACCGGAGGAAUGCUUNNNNNNNNNNNNNNNNNNNNNNNNNNNNNNNNNNNNNNNNNNNNNNNNNNNNNNNNNNNNNNNNNNNNNNNNNNNNNNNNNNNNNNNNNNNNNNNNNNNNCUGACACAUUCAAGAAGCAAUGCGGAGUUCUCGUUAGGGAUCACAUCCCGAUCAGCGUUCGGGAGUGGAACAAGCGCAAAGGGGCAGCCGAUAGUGACUAUGUCGCCGAAAGGUACAAAGAUAAUCUUUGGAAUGAUCUCAUGUCACAUUUCAACCUGCCAGAAUGUGAGAAUGAAGACGCCGCAGACAAACUGAGGGCCAAAGUCAAGCAGUGGACUCUAAAGAAGAUGGCCGAAUUGUUCCGUAGGUGGAAGAAGAAGCUAUGGAAAAACUAUCUGAAGACAAAGAAAGUGCCGGUAUUCGAGGGGUAUCUAGCCAAGCAGGCGAAUCACUCGAAGGAAUUUCAAGAGUACAAGGAGUCAGAAGAUGCCCAGGCAUUAUCAGAAAAGAACAAGAUAAAUGCCGACAAGAAGAAAUAUCACCACAAGCUGGGGCCAGGGGGCUAUGAGACUGCCAUCCCAAAGUGGGAAAAGAAAGAGCAAGAUUUGAUAGAUAAAGGCAUCGUACCAGAACCACUCCGUGAUGAGUGGGAAUUGAGAGCAAGAAAUUGGUUCCUUGCGCAUGGUGGGUCGUACGACGAAAAAACAGGGGACCUCAUCUGCAAUGACAAUCUUAGGAUACCCAGGGAGAAUUGGAAAAGGAUAGUGAAAGAAAUUAAGGAGGGACAAAGAAAGUUCACUGCAGAUAGACAUAAAGAUUUGCUCACACUGGUCCUCGGUAAUGACGAACAUGGAGGACGAACGCGAGGCUUCGGUCCAUCUUACCCGUGGUGGCUUGGGUUUGCCAGAGACCAAGACACUUACAGAAGCCGAGAGAGAGCAAAGAAGCGGCAGCAAGAUGAGGAGAAUGACAAGUUCAACCAGUUGCUUGCCAGGAUUAACGAGCAACAGAAUUAGAUUGAUGAGCUUAGAGGAGUACCGCGCCAGGAAGAUCCUGCACUUGAUAUUAUCGGCACCCCAUCUAAGCGGAAAAGCAGCGUGGCUGAAUCUUAGGCCCCGCUCGCCGAUGAACGAAGAAUGACAGAGGGCAGUCCCGGCUACCCUGUGGAUGGAAUCAAGGAUUCAACAUCAUGUGAACUUCAUCAGAAAUUCAAGAACAUAUCCAUGAAGGUGGCCGUCGGACAAGCUUUACCUUCUGGCCCUAAUGCACGCUGGCAUGGCCGUGAGAUUCCAGUUGGCUUUGCUAAAGUCGGGGUGGAUGAAAUCAUGACGGGGUUUAAUGAUAUGGAGCUCGACAUAGCUGGACCCGAAGAUGAGAGGACACUCGGAGAAGUACUGGGUGGAGUCAUCCUAUGGGACANNNNNNNNNNNNNNNNNNNNNNNNNNNNNNNNNNNNNNNNNNNNNNNNNNNNNNNNNNNNNNNNNNNNNNNNNNNNNNNNNNNNNNNNNNNNNNNNNNNNGGUGGGCACUGCGGCGGCGACGGUGGCGACGGCCGCGGCCUUGGCUCCGGCCAUGGCAGCCUCUGCAGUUACCAAUCAACACAGGCGUGUUAGUUUGGGUCUAGUUCCAGGCUUUCAGUAGACAGGACUGCACAUAACUGCAAUGCACUCCUAGAAUAGAACGGCGAGAGCAUUGCCGGCACAGUGAACCGGCGGGGCAUCAUAUCGUUUUGGUUACCUCUGGAGCAGCGCUUGGCUGCGGCGAGCCUCUGGUCGAGGUAGGCGCCGGUCACCGUAGACAUCUUCGCCGGAGCAAAGCUUGGUGGCAGGAGACCCGAAGGAAGUGAACUACUCGUGACUUCUUAGGCCCUGUUUUGUUACAAAUAAGUCACCAACUUAUAAGUUAAAAAUGCAAAAAAUGACUUAUUUUGCCAAAAGGGCCUAACUUAUAAGUCACCCUAACUUAUAAGUCAUAAGUUGCGAUACCCUAGCUUAAAACUUAUAAGUCACUUACUUUUUGAUGGGUCCCACCACCUUUUCAGCCGUGCCCACCGCCCACCCGUGCCCACCGCCCCAUCCGCUCCCCACCGCGUAGCGCGCCUCGCCGCCGCUCCCACCGCGCAGCGCGCCUUGCCGCCGCCGAGCUCCAUCCCCACCCACUGCGCAGCGCGCCUCGCCCAUCCCUCCCCACCGCGCACCGCUGCUGCCCUCGCCGCCGCUGNNNNNNNNNNNNNNNNNNNNNNNNNNNNNNNNNNNNNNNNNNNNNNNNNNNNNNNNNNNNNNNNNNNNNNNNNNNNNNNNNNNNNNNNNNNNNNNNNNNNCCUAGUGUGCCUUUUCCUGUCAGCCUACCCUCAUACCGAGAUUCGGGAACACCAAUCGGCUUAAGGUCAGGAAGAAAGUCCACACAAAACUCAAUGACCUCCUCUGUUCCAUAGCCCUUGGAGAUGCUUCCUUCUGGCCUAGCACGGUUACGAACAUAUUUCUUUAAGACUCCCAUGAACCUCUCGAAGGGGAACAUAUUGUGUAGAAACACAGGACCGAGAAUUCUAAUCUCUUCGACUAGGUCAACUAGGAGGUGUGUCAUUAUAUUGAAGAAGGAUGGCGGGAACAACAACUCAAAGCUGACCAGACAUUGGACCACAUCAAUCUGUAACCCUGAUAGACUUUCUCGAUCGAUUACCUUCUGAGAAAUUGCAUUGAGAAAUGCACAUACCUUCACAAUUGCCAGGCGAACAUUUUCCGGUAGAAUUCCCCUCAAUGCAACCGGAAGCAAUUGCGUCAUAAGCACGUGGCAGUCAUGAGACUUUAGGUUUUGGAAUUUUUUGUCUUUCAUAUUUACGAUUCCCUUUAUAUUCGACGAGAAGCCAGUCGGGACCUUGAUACUGAAAAGGACUUCAAAGAAGAUUUCCUUCUCUUCCUUAGUAAGAACGUAGCUGGCACGCCCUUGAAACUGCCCUCGAUGCAUGCCAUCUCUUCCUUUAUGACGUUCCUGGUCCUCCCGUGCUUCCGGUGUAUCUUUUGACUUCCCAUACAAGCCCAGGAAGCCUAGAAUAUUCACGCAGAGAUUCUUCGUCAGGUGCAUCACGUCGAUUGCCGAGCGGACCUCAUGGACUUCCCAGUAGGGUAGCUCCCAAAAUAUAGAUUUCUUCUUCCACAUGGGUACGCGCUUAUCAGGGCCGUUAGGAACAGGUUGGCUGCCAGGACCCUUUCCAAAGAUUACUUUUAAAUCUUUGACCAUAUCAAAUACUUCAGCACCAGUACGGAUGACAGGCUUCCCCCGGGGUUCUGCCUUGCCAUUGAAAUGCUUGCCUUUUUUCUUGAAGGGAUGCUUGGGCGGAAGAAAACAACGAUUGUACGGAUACACAUUCUUCCUACAGUUGUCGAGAUAUAUACUUUCUGUCUGAUCCAAACAGUGCGUGCAUGCAUUGUAUCCCUUGUUUGACUGACCUGAAAUGUUACUAAGAGCAGGCCAAUCAUUGAUGGUUAUGAAAAGCAACGCUCGAAGGUCAAAUUCCUCUUGUUUGUGCUCGUCCCACACACGUACACCUGGUUCGGCCCACAUCUGUAAAAGUUCAUCAACUAAUGGCCUUAGGUACACAUUAAUAUCGUUGCCGGCUUGCUUUGGACCUUGUAUAAGCACUGGCAUCAUAAUGAACUUCCGCUUCACGCACAACCAAGGAGGAAGGUUGUAGAUACAUAGAGUAACGGGCCAGGUGCUGUGACUGCAACUCUGCUCCCCAAAAGGAUUCAUGCCAUCUGUACUCAAACCUAACCAUAAGUUCCUUGCGUCAGCUGCAAAUCUCGGGAACUCUCUCUCGAUUUUUCUCCACUGCCGACCAUCAGCGGUGUGCCUCAACUUAUCGUCUUUCAUACGAUCUUCCAUGUGCCAUCACAACAACUUCGCAUGGUCUUUAUUUCUGAACAGACAUUUCAACCGUGGUAUUAUAGGAGCAUACCACAUCACCUUGGCAGGAACCCUCUUCCUGGGUGGCUCGCCCUCAAUAUCACCAGGGUCAUCUUUUCUGAUCUUAUACCGCAAUGCAGUGCAUACCGGGCAUUUAUCCAUAUUCUCGUACUUCUCACCGCGGUAGAGGAUGCAGUCAUUAGGGCAUGCAUGUAUCUUCUGCACGUCUAAUCCUAGAGGGCAGACAAGCUUCUUUGCUUCGUACGUGCUGGCGGGCAAUUCGUUCUUUCUUGGAAGCAUCUUCUUCAUCAGUACCAGCAACUUUUCGAAUGACGAGUCAGUCACACCGGUCUCUGCCUUCCACUUCAGCAAUUCCAGUGUGCUACCCAGCUUCUUCUGGCCAUCUUCACAAGUUGGGUACAACAAUUUGUUGUGGUCCUGUAACAUCUGCUCGAACUGCAACCUCUCCUUUUCUGUGUCGCAACCUCGCCGUGCAUCAGAAAUGACCCGGCCAAGAUCAUCAGCGGGCUCAUCUGGUUCCGGUUCUUCAUCCUGAUCUUCUUCUUCAUUGUCUUCCAUUGCGGUAUCAGCAUACUCAAGGAACAUAGAUUGGUAGUUGUCAUCAUCAUUCUCUUCUUCUUCUUUGUCGUCUUCCAUCAUAACCCCUCUUUCUCCGUGCUUGGUCCAAACAUUAUAGCCCGACAUAAAACCGGACCGAAGCAGGUGGCUCUGAAUGACUCUUGAGGAAGUGUAAUCCUUCUCAUUCCGACAUUCAACACAUGGACAAAACAUAUAGCCACCACCAUGCUUGUUCGCAUCGGUUGCAUCUCGAAAAGAAUGCACACCUUCUCUGGAAGCGGUUGUGCGUCGAUCACCGUACAUCCAUGGAUGGCUCAUCUCUGCGUUAUACGACAGUAUAUCAAAUACAAUCACGAUCCUAGAAAUUAGUACCGCACGGUCUAAACGAGGAAAUAUAGUUGCUAACCUUUUAGAAUAAGUAGAAAUAAAGAGGAAGAGGUUUAAGCGUGGCUCGGGCAUCUCAUAUCGUAGUUGUGUUCGGUGAACUGAAGCGGCAUCGCUCUAACACACAUUUCAACAAACACCUCUAGUGCAUCAAAAAAAGUGGAGAGCAAGCACCCACCCACAAUCCUCCAUCCAAGAAAAAUGCAACGAAGAGGGGAGAGGGGGGGCUGUGCUAUAUAUAGGCAGAGGACUUUAGUCCCGGUUUGAGACACAAACCGGGACUAAAGGUGGCGCACAUGCGGGCUGCCCACCGCGUAGCCCUUUAGUCCCGGCUUGGGACACGAACCGGGACUAAAGGCUCCUUACGGGCCGGGACUAAAGCCUCGAGGGAGGAUAUGAGAAUUGGGGCGACGUGGCCGGGCCUUUAGUCCCGGCCCAGAGGCAGGCCGGGACUAAAGGGUCCAGGCCAAAGGCCCGUUUUCUACUAGUGAGACACAUAGAGUUCACCGAGAAAUCCAUGGUUAUGACCAAGAUGAUAAUUAAGUACUGUAUGUUUCCUAUUAGGAUUAGGCGUUUCUUCGAAACAUAUACUGACAGAUGUAUAGAGUUCACUCAUGAUAGAUUAAAAAUUUGAGGAUCAAGUACUCUUGCUUCAUUGAUCAUUACAAGUUGCAAGCUAGCUUUAGGAUUAGGCGUUCAUGCAGUGUUUAUCAAGAUUCAGGAUUAGGAAUUUUUUGUAUCUCGCAACUUUGUGUCGGGCAAAUUAACCUCACUCAUGUUGCUAUGAGAGAAAAACUUAGUUAUGUCAAUUUUGCAAGAUUAUGUGGCAUCUUGACAAGAUAAGUUAGAUUUGUAGUAUGUCUAUUUAAUUUUUUCUGCUGCAACAUAUGUUGUCGAAAUACUUUCAAUUAUCAAUUGAUUCAUGAUUCACUAUUAAAAAAAUCGGUUCCGAACUCGGCACCCGAGUGAAGCAAAAGGGAAAUUGCUAAGCAAACUAGUAGCUGCACCUUAAUCCAAACUCAGUGAGAAUUUUCAUAGUCCUGGAAAAAAGAGAAUUUUGAUUCAAAAAAGGCGGUGUUGCUUCUGCUGUGCAAAAGGGAAUUGCUAAGCAAACUAGCACCUUAUCCAAACUGAAUGAGAAUUUGAAGUUCAGAAAAGAUUGCUCCAUUUCUACUGUGCACCUGAUGUAAAUCGCUACCCUGCAGGACUGGUGACGAUGUGGCUCUCUCUAGGCGGGUAGCGGUGACAUUCCUUAUGAUGACAAUGGCAGACUUCAGCGACCAGCUCUUCGACUGGCAGGACCGCCAUCUUCGAGCCCGACGUCGGACGCGCCCGCGUCGCCGCUGUCGUCGAGGAUGAGGCUGAGCACCUCGUCCACCUCUUCUGCGUCCUCCCGCGCCAGCAGCUCGUCUUUACAAUCCUCCGCCACCCGGGGAAACCCAAGACCGUAUGCCUCUUGCUCCCCUCCGCAUCUCUCGAUCAUAGAUACACUUUCUUUAGUUUUGAACCCUGUUAGAUCUGUUGGAGGGGGGUAAUUGAUGUUAGCAUCAAUUUAGGAGCGAUCUGAUUCACUUAUUUUCCAGGAAUUGGAAUGCAUCCCCCUGUUUUCUGUAGCUGAUUCUCAUCUCAGGGAAUCUUUAUCGAAAAAAAAAAUCUCAGGGGAUGCGUUGUGUGCGCUCGAAAAAAAUAUCUCAGGGUACGCGUUGUGUGCGCUUGAAAAAAAAGGGCAAUGGUUGUCGCACACCAAAUGUUUGGUGUCAUGCCUAUGCGGGGCUUUGGCAGGAACCUGCGGGCUUUGUAUUUGCUCCAAGAGUGAUCAAUUGAUCCGAGAUGGGCAUAAGUUUAGCAGGUAUUUUUAGUUUGGGGAGGUGAUGUGUGAGUCAUGGCCUGCACUGCUCGCUGGUAUUUGGCUACCAGUGACUGAGCUACCAACAAGUUAUAUGACUGCUGAUAUCUGUACUUAUAUUGUCCUACAUGCAUAGAAUGAGUGGUCUCUGCAAUCUAGUAGCUUAUACUCCUACUAUUUAACUCUGAACAGAUGAUCUUACUAGCAACUGAUGGUGUAUGCUUCGGACAAGAAGCAUCCUGUUUAAUACUCCUAGCAUAGUUUACAGUCGCGUUAAGUGUAAGCGUUUUGUGUUAUGCCAAGGUUGAACUUUAUUCAUACCGUGUGAAACUGACGCUCACCAUGCGAACAGUUUCAGGAGAUCAAAAUAGAGCAGAAUGAUGCUUCAAUAACCAAGUUAUUCACAUGCCCUGUUUCCUAUGAACCACUGAUGAGGAAAGGGCAGUCAAAACCACUUUGCCAAAGUCCACUGAACAAUUAUUCAAUCCAUCAAGUUUAAACCACUUUGGGCAUUACAUGAGAAAUGAUGUUAUGUAUUUCUAUUUCUGUGAAUUAUUGACCGCUCAACGCAUUUGUUAAGUCAACCAUGAUAGUGUAGUGCUUAGUUAGUACUCUUUUCGAUGGCUUUGCACAGGAACAAGGCAUCGUGUGAUGACCUGUGUUCCUACCUUUUUGCCAUAUGGACUUAUUCAUCACAAUGACAUCGCCUUCUGAUACUUUUUAAAAUCUGUCUAAUUGUUGCAGGCCCUGACAACAUGGAGCACCUGAAGAGGAUCGCCGAGGAGAUGCAGAAGCAGGUGGCUGUUGCAGGCGCCAUCCAGCCCAAGGAGGAGAACGACUUGGAGUUUGGAUGUAUUAUGUAAACCUGAAAGAUGUAUUAUGUGAACCUGGGAGAUGUAUUAUGUGAACCUGGGAGACGUAUUGUGUUAUGUAAACUUGGGAGAUGUAUUAUGUGAUGUUAUAUGAUGGAUGAUUUUAAUUUGAGUUGGAGUAUUCUUGAUUUGAAUAUGAAAUAGUGUUGGAUUUAAUAUUGGACAAAUAAUUGGGUUGCAAAGGCCCAACAAAUAGAAAUGAAACCAAGUUCAGGAACAAAAAGUUGCUGAAUUCAAAAAUGAAAAAGGCCAAAACUGAAAUUGGACCAAAUGUAUUUGGAACUUAAAGUCCAGGGCCCAAAUUAUAAUGAUAAAAAAAAUUCGAAAAAAACAUACUAAAGUGGCUGUAAAUAGGCAAAGUCCCAAAAGAAGUCCAAUAAGAAAAAGCCCAAAAAAAUAAAAUCAGCCCAUGUGAUCAAUUGAAAUGGGUUGGGCUGAUUUCAACCAUGAUGUUUUGAUUUCGUCGUAAUUUUGCCACGUAGGACUGCCACGUAGGACUGGGUUUGAUUGCCAACGCCGAUUUAGGAUCGUCGUAAAGGUUACGACGAUAGAGGCAUCGUCGUAAAAGUUACGACGAUUUUGAUCAAAACGUCGAUGCUCUUCAUUUCUGACGCUCCGUUUUCGACGCUUGGUUUUUCGUCGUGAGAUCGUCGUAAAUUAAAAACCGUGACGAUGUAGCGACGAAAAAAUAGCGUCGUGUAUUAGCAUAUUCCUUGUAGUGGUGGGCACUGCUUCGGGGGAAACCCUAAGAUCUGACUUUCCAGAUCGGACGAUGGCGGUACUGCGGUGUCGUAUCUCUCUUGGGAGCAUCCUUUGUGGAGCAAGGCUAGAUGACAGAGGCAGGAGAUGGAGCGGCUUCGUCUGGCUCGAAGAUUUGUUGGAACUGUUAAGUCAUGCCUGGCCGACAGGUGCUACGCGGAGUCAUGCCUGGUUGGUAGGUGCUACGCACGACAGUUCUUCCAGAAUCUUCGUGUCUGGACGAAUGAGCCUAGGGCGGUGGCGCUGUUUGGCGCCGUGGUGGCGUCGAUCAUCUUGCACGGAGCUUUCAGUGAAGAUGUCAAGUCUUGCGUGGUCGACAGGUACUACGCUAUGUCAUGCCUGGUCGGCAGGUGCUACGCACGACAGAUCUUCCAGAAUCUUCGCGUCUGGACUGACAAGCCAUGGUGGCGUCGCGGAUGGAUGGACUGUCAAGGAUGAUACUGUUCUCUCUCCUGAAGAUGGGUCAGCGGCCUGAUGAUGAUGGCGGCAUCUAAAACAUGUGCAUGUGGUUUCCGCUUUAUGUCUGUUGCACCGGCUGUGGGUUCCGAUACGAUAUGUGGAUGGAUCAAUGACGGCACCGGUUUUAGAUAUGGGGAAUGAGAGCACUCCACAUUAUCGAGUUUCUUAGGUGUGAGUGGUAGCUUCGGAUGGUUUGAUGUAUGUUCUUGUUAGACCUAUGUUGAAUAAUUAAUAAAAAUGGCCGUAUGCAUCGAUUGAUGCAGAGGCAGGGGGUUUGAACCUGCUUUUCCGAAAAAAAACAUCCACAUGUCUCAUUCUGGCGUCCUAUAUCCAUACUACACAUGCAUGUCGAAAUAAUCUACGUGAUCGGAAAAUAAAAUCGAAAGGAAACGGACACAAGAUUUGCGGCAAACGGACAUCUAUCAAUACUCAAAAGAUCAUCGAGUUCGCAUGACAUAGUUUAUCAUCACCAAAAAACUAUAUUAACAAUGCUGGUCGUUUCCUAGUAAAUGAUAAAGGUGUUGCAUUUUUUGAGAAUCGUUUGGUUGUUCCCAAGAAGCAACAACUGUGAGAAUUGAUCCUUAAGGAAGCUCAUGAAUAUCCUCUCACGAUUCAUCCCGGUAGUACUAAGAUGUAUCAGGACCUACGCCAGAGGUUCUGGUGGACCCGAAUGAAGAGAGAAAUCGCUCAAUUUAUUGCUAACUGUGACGUUUGUCGUCGCGUUAAGGCAGAACAUCAAAGGCCUGCUGGCACUCUUCAGCCCUUGGCUAUUCCUAAGUGGAAAUGGGACAAGGUCGGUGUGGAUUUCAUCACCGGCUUUCCAAAGACUAAGAAAGGGAUUGAUGCCAUCUUCGUGGUCAUCGAUCGUCUUUCAAAAUUUGCUCAUUUCCUUCCAGUUCGAGAGAGUAUAACUGCUAGUCAGUUAGCAGACCUAUGUAUUUAUCGAAUAGUUUCUCUUCAUGGUGUUCCUCUGGAAAUCAAUUCAGACCAUGGAAGUCUUUUCACCUCUCUAUUUUAGGAAAGUUUCCAAAAUGCUAUGGGAACUCUUCUCUCCUUUAGCACUUCUUAUCACCCUCAGUCAAGUGGUCAAGUAGAAAGAGUCAAUCAAAUUCUCGAGGAUAUGCUCAGAGCGUGUGUUAUCUCAUUCGGAAUGAACUCGGAGAAAUGUAUUCCAUUCGCCGAGUUUGCUUAUAACAUCAUUUUCCAGUCUAGUCUGGGCAAAACUCCUUUCGAAGUUCUGUAUGGAAGAGGAUGUCGAAUGCCAUUAAACUAGUCAGAAACCGGUGAAAGACAAUACUUUGGACCGGAUAUGAUCCAGGAGGCAGAAGAGCAAGUUCGCAUCAUUCCUGAGAAUUUAAAAACCGCCUAAUCUCGUCAAAAGAGUCAAUAUGACCGUCGUCAUUACGAAGUAAGUUAUGAAGUUGACGAGAAGGCUUAACUUCGGGUUUCACCUCUCAAGGUUACCCAUCGUUUCGGUAUCAAAGGCAAAUUGGCUCCUCGUUACAUUGGUCCUUUUCGCAUUCUCGCUAAACGAGGAGAGGUUGCCUACCAAUUGGAACUACCUCCGCAACUUUCCAAAGUUCAUGAUGUGUUCCACUUUUCUCAACUCAGGUGUUACUUCAAGGAUCCUAUCCGCGAAGUGGACCACGAAACGCUUGAUCUCAAAGAUGACAUUUCAUAUCGAGAAUAUCCCGUUCGUAUUCUUGAUGAAAGCGAGCGAAGCACUCGACAUCGCAACAUCAAGUUUCUCAAGGUUCAGUGGUCUCAUCAUUCCGAGGAUGAAGCAACGUGGGAGCGCGAAGAUCGUCUUCGGCUUGAGUACCCCGAUCUCUUCCCGACUACGCCUGAAUCUCAGGACGAGAUUCUUGUUUAGUGGGGGUGAGUUGUCACAGUCCUAGUUUUACUUUACUUGCCAAGCUGAAUUCAAAUUGCAUUGAAUUUGAAAUGGGGAAGUGAUCAAGCCUCAGGAACCAAAUUUUGGGAAAUAAGCAAUAUAAAAAUUGCUAUAAAAUGAUCCAAGAAAAUGUUCCGAAUAUUUUAUUAAAAUAUUGGCAUGAUAUAAAAAUGUCAACUAAUAUUUUAGGUCACAGAAACAUUUUGUGUUGGACUUUUGAUUUAAUCAAGCAAAUAUUUGGAGUGGAAUUAUAUUAUCUCUAUAUAAAAUAUAGUUCCAUAAUUCCUGAAAAUAAAUGUGUGGCAUUAGAUAUUUAUAUUAUGCCACCUAAUAUAUUUUUCAGGGUUUUAUAAAAUGGCUAAAUAAUUUAUUUAAAGCCUAAACACAAACGGCAGAAACAGAAAAGAUACAAAAACUGAAAAGGGAGCAGAAGCUUACCUCGCGCCUAAGUGGCACGCCCAGCCCACUCCAGCCACCCCUGUCGUAUUCCUCCUCCUGCCAAUAGGCAAAGGAGAAGGCGAGCACGGCAGCCACCUCCUGCUUCGCCGUGGAGCUCCUCCUCGCCUCCACGACACCAGCACGACCCCCUCUCUCUUAUCUCCUCCCCCUCUCUUCAUUUUCCCCUUUCUCCCCUGCUCAUCCCUCUUUCUCUCCUCCGCCAUUGACGAGCUCGGGCUUGAGGUCACCGGCGCCCCUCCGGACACAGCAACACCACCCUGACCUGCUCCCUUCCCCGCAUCGACGAGCUGCUCCUCCCCGCCGAAGGAAUUGAGCCGAAGCCCGCUGUAUCGCCCUCGCCGCCGCCGUUCCCAACUCCGACCACCGGACCCCGCCGCCGUCGAUUCGGCCUGCCCCGAGCUCCCCUUCCGUCGGCGUUUCUCCCAUCAGUUCCGUGGUGAGCUGCGGAGCAUUUCGCCUCUAUUUCCCUCUUUUUCCCGCGCCCUGGCACCGCUCCCCAUCGAUGCCAAACUCGGGCCGCCGCGUGCCUCCACCGGCGCCCCCAUGACCAGCCGUUGCCCCUGCUAGAUCGGUCGCUUCGCCAGCUUCGCGUAGCCGCAAACCGCGCGGACAAUGGCCCCUUGGAGCGUGAUUGUAGCCAACUCCGUCGAGUCCUCCGCCGCGGUUUGGUCGCCGCCGGCCAGUUUCCGGCGAGCGCCGACGUGGCACGGCCAUUAGUGCCUAACUAGCACCCCACAGCCACUGACACAGGGCCCCACGCGUGGGUCACACCCCAAUUAGGGGCAGGUCAACUCGGGUUUAGCCCAGGGUCACUGACCAGUGGCCCCCACUGGUCAGGUUUGACCUGGCCCGGCUGGUUUGACCUGAUGACGUCAGUGCUGAUGCAGUAAUUCAUUUCAGAGUUUAAAAUAAAUCCAGAAAUUAGUAGAAACUUCAAAAAUUCAUAGAAAUUAAAUUAUAACUCGGAUGAAAAUAAUUUAUAUAUGAAAAAUUAUUAGAAAAAUGUAAGGAAUCCAAUGGUACCAUAUUCAUGCAUGUUUGAACAAUUUGAACUAGCUGAAUAGGACAAUUACAAAAUAGGCAUAUAAAUGCUUAUAUUUGGAGUUUAGAAUUGAUCUAUAUUGAUCAAACAAACCCCAAUUAACUUGUGAUCACUUGCAUUAGAUAAAACCAGCAUCAUUUUAACAUGCCAUGCUCAUGCAUCAUUGUGAAGCAUUUGUCGUGCUUAAUUUGUUCUUUGUUGAUCUUGUUGAUAGACCUUGCGAGAUGUAGUUAUCACCGACAUCGAAGAACAGCUGAGUUCUUCUGAUCAACAGGAAAGCAAACCCCUUAUGUAUUAGGACAUAAAGAUUCAACUACUACUUAUGUUAUGAUAGAUAACACAUUCCUUUGCAUGACAUGUCUUUGUCAAAGUAAAUAGCUAAACCAAGAAACCUAGCAUACCUGGUAGAUGCUUGAGCCAUGUUGUGCCAUUACCCUGAUAUGCUUGCUAUGCUUAGAGUUGAGUUGGUCUCAUCAUCUGGAUGAUGAAUUGGAAUGACCAUAUCCUACUGAUGAGAGUUAAGUAUGUGAAACCGUUUUGGUAAAGGUAGUGAUGAGAGUCCAUGUAGGAGUACAUGGCGGGUUGUCACAUUGAUACCGCACUUAGGACCUGAGAUCUUGUGUUGGUGUUCCAAGACUAGAUACUACCGCACAUUGGGUUCCGGUAACUCGACCCCUCUCGGCCUAUUAACUACUCUAUUCUCAGUCCAGGAGUCGCAGUAGUUCGAAACAUUCAUAGAUUAUGGCACGACCUGCUAAGUGGAUGAACGGCCCAAUCAUUACCGGCUUGGGGCCCUGCUCACAUCGUUUGAGGACAUGUUGGAAACCCCGGCCGGACUUCCAUCAUGGGUUCCAACUCAGAUAGGCGACUGCCUUGUGCGUGAGUCAUUGUGGGUUAACGUCCGUGGCUGACUCCCUCGCUGGACUUCCGCUUGAAGGUUGCUGAGGUGCUUGUUUUAUGUGCACAUGGCGAUAAUUGGCGGGAGCAUGUGUGACGAAGUACACCCCAGCAGGGUAAUUAUCCUUGGAUAUGGACUACUUGGAUACUUACAUGGUUCAUAGAUAACUUUAACGGGUACUUUAAAAUGGUCCAGAUAAGAGUGAGUGCUAUGGAUGGCCUUCUCAUAGGAUGACGAGAGAGGAUCCAUGGUGGUGUAUUGAUGUGGUGGAUAUGUGGACUCGUGUGCGCCCUCUCGUAGGGAGACAAGAGAGGUAUAAAACAUUGUUGUAGUUUAGGUUAGCCAAAGGUCAAAGCUGGCUUUUCUGCAGUAAACCCCACAACCCCGUUCAUUGAUGCAUGAUGCAUAUGUAGUUAACUCUGAUGUAAGUCUUGUUGAGUACCUUCAUACUCACUGUUCCUUAUUUUCAUUUUUGCACAGAUAGACGUUGUUCUCUCUACGUUUUCCUGUUGACGUUAACAUCGAUGGAUUAGCUUGGGAACCCAGAUAGUGGUCUGGCUCCUAUGGUAGGGUUGUUGUAGCUUUUCAGGCUCUUCCAGCCGCUUUUAAUAGAUGUCUAUACCCAGACAUGUAACUUCCGCUUGAUGCUUGUAUGCUCUGAAUGUUGGGUCAUGUGACCCCUCUGUUUGUAACAUUAUACUAUGUUGGCUCUUCGGAGCCUAUUAAAUAAUUGAUGAGUCGUAGAGUUAUGAUGUGAUGCUAUUGUUGUAUCUACACAUAUCAUGCAUAUUGUGUGUAUGUUUGAAAUGCAUUGGUAUGUGUGGGAUUCGACACCUAGUUGUGUGCCUUUAGUAGUAAUCUUUACAGCGAAAUGCCUCUUUGUGCUUCCACCGAGCCUUGGUAGCUUGCUACUUCUUCGGACACAUUGAUUGACCGGCGUGUAUCCUUCUUUGCUGUUGUAUCUGUCCCCUCGGGGAAAUGUCACGCGGUGUAAUGGAGUCCUUGUAGCUUGCUACGACUCGUCUACACACGCUGUUGACCGACACCUGCUUAGUUGGGUCAAGGUGAGCGGCCCCGACACCACCAUCGCCGUUCGGCGCCCCCGCCCCAGGCGGUUGCUUCCGCUGCUGGCCCCCGCCCUCACCCCCUCCAGCGCUAGUUGCCCCCGUCAUCGCCUCCGCCGUCUCACUUGUCGUGGAAGACCUAGAAAUUUUGGCUAAGUGUUGGCUCUGUCCUAUCCUCGGAAUAGGUCCCACUUGUCAAUGACUUAGAUUUGGCAAGAGACAACCGCAGUUUUAUAUAAUAUACAGUCAUUUCGGUAGAUGGGCAGCAAUCCCUCUCUAGCCCAGUGGUAGUCAACAAGCAGCCACAACCCAGUGGUCGUGGGUUCGAGUCCACGCUCGGGUAAAAAAAAUUACCCAACGAAUUUUGCGCUCGCGUGUGCUUCUGCUGUCAAAUGGGUCCCACCUGUCAGUGUGUGAUCUUUGUUUAACAAGAAGUAAGCAAAAAUGACAGGUAAACUGAGGUUGUUGCCUAACCAUCCUAAUGCAUUCGAACUAAUUAGUAACAAGAGGUGGCCGGUGCUGUCCGCUUUACGACAAUUUCUAGUAAGGAAGUUAUGACAUUUCUGAUGAAAAUGGUCGUUAGUUUUUAGGGUUAGGACCCCUCCGGACAUCUUACAACCAAUUGGUCUCAAAUGGUCGUAGAUUUACGACCAUUUCUACUUGCGUCAUUGCUAGAAGGUCGCUAGUUGACAUAUUUCUUCUAGUGGAUUACCAUAAUGCUCGUCAUAUACAAGGAUUAAUCCUGCAAUGACGAAUCAUGUGAUCAUCCAAAUGACGGAAUUUGAGAUGAAGAAUUUGGGUAAAACCUCUCGCACAUUCACUCAUACAUUAUGGUACACAUGUCGUCAUUAUCUAGAUUAUACUAGACAAAAUAGAUUGUGGGGAUGUCUUACCCAUCCAUAAUUUCCAUGGUUAUUCGUUCUCUAGACGUAGAGAAAAUUUCAUUUAGACUGCGAGGAGAUGGAAACAAGAUUUUAGGACCUAAAGUUCCAUAUCCUAGUGCCAUUGGACCCACCAAACAUAAUUGGUUGGGACUCAAGAAUAUAUUUUCAUAUCUCCAAGGCAUCAAACAUCUUGUCCUAAUCUUUCAGUUUUAGAGAAAUCUGGACACCCGAUAUUAUUGGAUACGUUGAUUAGAUCCCUACCAUGUUAGAUCGUAGACAAGCUAUGUGUUCCUACUAGGUGUCGUAGCCAUCCCAUGAAAGUCUUCAAAACAAAUCUUAUUAGCUACAUCCACCAACCAUUAUCUCAAAGAUAAUGUUGCUUGUGUUCCCCGGAUGCAAACAUGUUACAUAAUAAGCAAUAUCUCUAUAUUUCAUAUAUUGCAAUUCAAAUCAUGUGGCUGAUUUGUUCACCAAGUCUCUACCAACUUCUACAUUCUAGAAAUAUGUUCACUGAAUUGGUAUGUGACGGCUUCGGAAUUUGCAAGAAUUAGGGGAGUAUCUUCCUGAAUUUUUCAUGUUCAGAGCAUCAUAUUAUAAUAUUUUUCCCUGCAUGAGUUUACUGUACAUGUUCUCAUAAAGAUUUUUCAUGAGGUAAUAUCAACAUGAAAUCAUAUGUCAUAUUUUUUGUUUUCCCCAACUGGGGUUUUUAGGGAUGUAUACACAACAUAUUUAUUGUCCUCUAAACUGUAUGGAUUUUAUAAUAUUGAGUUAAAGAGACAAUUAUUAUGAUAUGUCAUAUUAUUUUCUCCUUAUAUUUUUCCCACUGCAUUUUAAAGGAGUUUCCAAUGGCAUAUCAGAUCACACUCUUUUCCCUUAUGUGAUUUCUCUUGAAGUUUCUCAUAAAAGGUUUUAACAAGGCAACAUAUGCAAUAAUUUCUAUUUUUCUCACUUGGGUUUUUUUAAACGAAAGUAUACAAUGAACAUUUAUUGGUCUCCAAACUCACAAAUAAGUUUUCUCCUUGUUCAAAGGUUUUCCUCAUAUGUGUUAUCAAGGAGAUACUAAUCAUAAUAUGUUGCAUCAUAUUCUCCUUAUUUUUUACCCAUCAGGUUUAAAGAAAUUUUAGCAACAUAUCAGCACCAUUCUCCUCAUAUUUUUUCCAUAAGGUUUUUGGGAAGACUCAAGAUUGUACAAAGGAUUUAUCAAGAUGGAAGAUGAAUAUACAAGACACCUUCAGUGAUGUUCAAGAAGCCUUUAGUGGUGAUCAGGAAGCGGUGUUGUAUAAGGGGGUGUUAGGAAUAAAUUAUCACAUGUCUAUUUUUAAUUAGCACAUGCUAAUUAAUGGAUCAUCAUUAGCGAAAGGUGUGUCCAACCCCGAAGAGUUAUGUCCCUUCUCUCUCUUUAUUGUCAAUAGGCAUCUGUUUUGGACGGAUGUCUCCGAACAAACACCCUUUAUUUUCAUCUUUUCGAGAUGUAUAUAUACUUGAGUAUCAAUAAAAACAAAGACUUAUCGUUCAUUUACUUUCAAUCAAUCUUGUUCUACUUUAACACAACUCACUAGCAAUUUUGUGUGUCGGGCCACUUCGAUCUUGCGGUAUACCCCAGCUGUCCUGGUAUGUGGGGCAUGCUAUGGUUGUUUAAAAAUAUUAAAAUUAUAAAAUGCUUUCUAGUAUGACUUGGUUUUAUUAAGCACGCAAACAUAAUAAAUUUGAAUCGACGUUCUUGUACCACCGAAAGUUCACACCAAUCAGCGAACUACGCAUUUCCAUUAAAGUUGUAGAGGGUGCUGCAGUAGUAAAUAUGUAGAGGGGAGGAGACGCAUCAAGACAAGAGGGCAGUGUGGUGCACUAAUCCUACUACGUAGUCCCUGUUGGUUGGUAAAUGAGAUGGUCAGGUCUGUUGCAAUUCUUUACGUCGUCUCUGUUGGUUGGUGUAUUCUCCUGUGUGUGGCAUGGUGUUUGUGAUUAGAGAGUUCCCAUGAUUAUCUGUCGCUCUGUUACGACUUGGCAUAAUACUCCUACAUGCACACAAAGACGUGUCGGUUGCAGCUAGCCAUCGGGACUGACAUGCCGUCCUACCGAAUGUUUAAGGAGGUCGACAGUAGUUUGGUGCAGCUAGUCAACGGGACUGACAUGUUAAGCAGCGCGUGUAUGCGUCUCGCUUCGGCCGAAAUCACUGUUUUAACAUUUUUAUUAAUCUUUGUCACAAACUGAACUCAACAUAAAAGUGUUUUAUGAUCUAAUCUUUUUGAUAACAUCAUAGUCAAUCCAACAUAGAAACGCCAAGCUAGAUAGCGUUUCUGCCCUUGUCCACUGUCAGGCCGACCAUGCGUAUGUGACAAGCCAGAAACGUCGAGCUAGACCCCGUUUCUAUAUAGGGCGGCAACGUCAAAGGCCUUGCGUUUCAAAACAACAUAGAAACGUCAAGGCUUUUGGCGUUGCUGCCCUACAUAGAAACGCCAGGGUCAGUGACGUUUCCAGAAACGAGAUCUAGCUCGGCGUUUCUAACCUGUUACCUACGCGUACUCGUCAUGGCAGUGGACCAGAGCAAAAAUGCUAUCUAGCUCGGAUUUCUAUGUCGGGCAGUAACGUCACGGGCUAUGAUGUUGCCAAAAAGAUCAGAACGUGAAAUACUUUUAUAUCAAGUUCAGAUUGUGACAAAAAUCGCUGAGAAGGUUAGAAUAGCGAUUUUGUCUGCCUUUGUGGGCCAUCUCCUAGUGUCGUGGGAAUGACCCUAACAAUAGUACCUAAGGGUAUGAAUGAAGGGGCAAAGUCUAACUAGACGCAGUGGAUGCACUCGGAUGUACGAGUUUAGACCCCACUCGAAAGUGGUAACAGCCAUACGUCUCGAGCCCUGAGGCUGGUAUUUUCUUAUGGGGUGUAAAAGAUUACAAAGUGUUGAACCCUUGAGCUAGAGCCAGAAGUGGCUUAUAUAGUGCAUACCAUGACCGGCCGAGCUUCAUUACAAGGCAAUUAAUGCAAAUAAACGAAAAAGUUACUAGAAACGACAGCUUUAAUUAUCGGCGUUACUAGUAACGUGAGUCUUCACUGCUCUUCAUGCGAUGGGUUAAGUCCUUAGCCGUUUGCAGCCUCUUCGGUGCCUUUUCCUCGCUGAGGUCCGAGUGUCAAGAUGUAUCCGACUCGCACGAGAGGAUCCGAGUGACUCCAGGCAGACCGAGUGACGGUUGCUGAACCGAGUGAGGUCGAGGCAGCCUUGGUGACUUUAAGGAUACUAAUGUCCGUAAGGGUCCUAGGUAGGCCCAAAGAGGCAGGUCCGUAGGCCUACCCCUAAUGUACAACACGAGCAGUAGCCCCCGAAUCAAUUGAGGUUUUGCAGAUCGACUGAAUGACUUCCUUCAAUGUCUCCGACGCUUUGAAGAUUCUUGGGAUGUAGCUCGGGGCUGCGUCAUUCGGACCCUCGGCAAACCUCCACGGAUUUAAGAGUGACCAAUUUCGACUGUCCAGCCAUACAGGUACUUCAGCAGUCGGCAGUGACAGAUUAUCUUUUGGAAAGAUAGAUCCCAUGAGUUCGAUGGACGAGAGCUUUGUACUCCGCGUGCUCAAUCGGUGAGUUGGGACAGAUCUUAACUCGUGUCGAGGUAAGGACGAUCAGGUCGUCGUCAUCAAUUUCCGGACUGAUCGGGAUUCCGUAGGGGAUCGUGCGAAAAGAUCAUUCGGCAUGCUUUGUCAUACGACGUGUACACGGGAUCCAUUCGGGAUACAAGGUGGGACAGAUUUUUCGUAACUUUUGAAAUUGAGGGAGCACGCCCGCGGUCGACGGUUACGCGGAGACGCGGGUAGUGGAAAUAGUGAGAGAAAAGAUUAAUCGUAUGAGCUAAUGUAUCAUGAUCGUCAUUACGUGCAUUUCGGAACAGAACAGGGGAGGAGCUGGGGAUCAAAAGAGUGAACUAGUACUACAGUGUUAUCUCGGCAUUUUGCAAUGCUCUGACGCAUGUCAACUAGUAAGCGCCAUAAGGAAAAGACGAGUCAUGGCACAUGAACCAGGGUCGUACAAAAUUAAAAACUAGCUGUUAUUAACUCAAGAUCUCUGGAAAGGUACUAAGAUGGAGAAGUUGGCAACAUUAUUUCAUUUCAUACAUGAUAAGAUAAUUAGUGCUUGCUCGCAGUAAACAUCGCACUGCAAGCAUGGCCUCGCCUGAUCGCCCCAAUUUCAGCAGACAAGUUCGGGGAGGCGUAUAGAACUUGCUGCGCAUUAUUUGAUCUACAGCCUAAUUAGUGGAAGGAGGUGUUCUUGAGGUGUGGCGGGGCGUUGUCAAAGGAGUGCUUCCUGGCCAUGGAGACGAUUGUCUUGUCGGCGACGAUGAAAUAGGCCAUCCCGGCGACGGUGGAGAUGAUGAGCGCCUGCCCGGCCGGGUUCAGGUGCGCCUUUGCCCACGGCAGCAUCCUCACGCUCGCCAGCUGAAAUUACAGGUAAGAGGUAACACAUUCGUGCUCCGCAGGGAUAUCUCGAAGAAGGCAAGAACUAAAUGGCUAGCUACUAACCGUGGGGACUGCGGCUGCGACGGUGGCGACGGCCGCGGCCUUGGCUCCCGCCAUGGCAGCCUCUGCAACACCGACAGGUUAAUGACAAUCAAGUUUCAGUGGACAGAUACAUUACAGAAGCUGCAAUUAAUGCACGACGGAAUGGUAUCUAUACGAGCAUUGCUGGUUACCUCUGGAGCAACGCUUGGCUGCAGCGAGCCUCUGGUCCAGGUAGGCGCGGGUCACCGUAGACAUUUUCGUGGGAGUGGCAGCUUGGUGGCACGAGACCGGAAGGAAGUGAACUAGAAGUAGAGCAGCAGCAGUGUGCUUUUUAUGUGACCGUCUGAGAGUGAGAUGAGAUGGAUAGGAGGUGUGCUCCGAUUCGGCCGAGUUUAUGUAGGCUGCAGGAAACCGGCAACCAGCGUGCGCACAAGAAGACGAUAGAUACAGUGGGAAGCGAGACCGUGGUUUUGGCACUUUGGCAGGCGAGCUAGCAAUACCGGCGGCGUGCUGGGUGGUCGGCGCUGCGGCAGAACACAGGUGGCGCUGCCUCGUUGGUCAUUUAAAAACCAUCUCACGUGCGCCGCACUCUUCUGCAACUGGAUAACAGCAGGCAAUGCAUCAAUCCAUCGGGGUUGGCAGGGAAUCAUAGGAUAACAAAUAUAGGAGCAUGUGCAUGAGUGGGGUGUCAAUUAAAGCAUCACUUGUAGUGUUCUUAAAUCUUCAAAUCCUUAAAAUAAAUCAUUUUUUACGGAUUGAAACGAAAAAAAGCAAAGAAUAGAACCCCUAAACCCUUAAAAAAAAAUAAGGAUUGAACCCGGGUUGCCCUCUCAAUCUCUAAAAGUGAGGAUUGAAGAGGGGAACCCAUCCCUAGCCCGCACUCCUACCGGUCGACGCGCGGGAGGGAAAUUUCCCCGCCUCCCGCCUCCCGCCACCCGCCUCCUCGCUGCCGUCGGCCGCNNNNNNNNNNNNNNNNNNNNNNNNNNNNNNNNNNNNNNNNNNNNNNNNNNNNNNNNNNNNNNNNNNNNNNNNNNNNNNNNNNNNNNNNNNNNNNNNNNNNCCCCAGCCCGCCCCAGCCGCCGCCUCCGUCGUCCCGCCCGCCACGUCCCUCACCCCGCCCGCCUCCUCCCUCGCCCCGCCGAAGCCGCCCGCCACCAAGGGUCGGAAGAAGAAGCCCUCCCUUGGGCCGAAGGGGGCGGCGGGGCCGAAGGUGAAGAAGACCAUCUCCCGGAAGAAGCCGGCUCCUGUGCCCGCCCCGGCCGUCGCCCCUCCGCCCGUCGUGCACGAGGUGAAUGCCCGCCCCGCUGACAUCAUUCAUGGGGCUUCUCGAAGACGCGGAGGUGGACAUCGGGGCUCCUCCUCUCGAACCCUUUGGGUUUAGUGAUGACUUGGAGGAAGAGGGUGAUGAGGAGGAGGAAGGGGAAGAUGAGGAGGAGGUGACCGAGAUAGAGGAGGAGGCGUUCUCCACCGUUGGAAAACACACCGUGCGCUCGACAAACUAUAGCGAGGACGAAGAUAUUCUCUUGGUUCGUGCUUGGGCACAUGUGGGAAUGGAUGCAAGCACCGGUGCCGAUCAAACCGAUAAACUCUAUUGGCAAUGCAUAGAGGACCUCUAUUGCAAGAUUAAGCCGAAGACCGGUGGGUACGACGCUCGUAGUUACCUGUCGCUACAAGGCCGGUGGGAGUUGAUGAAGCCCCAUUGUGCUCGUUGGAGUGCGGCAAUGGACCAAGUGAAGGAUGCACCGCCUAGUGGGACCGUGGAGAGUGACUAUGUAAGUACAUAUGUGUUUUUCACAUUUAUUUUGAUUUUCUAUGCUAUUGUUAUGUAUGUUUACUAUGCUAUUGGUGGGUUUGUAGGAGGCAAUUGCCGACUUGAGGUACAAGGAGAUGGCCGCUUCCAAGGGCAAAGCAUUUCCAUUUAAGCAUGUUUGGAAAAUUCUUUAAACUUAUGACAAGUGGAAGUUGAGGGAUCAAGAGACCGCACCCAAGAAGUCGACAAUGCUUAGGAUGGAUGAUAGUGAUGAGGAGGAAAGGAACGAGUGCAAGCCCGAGGGAACCAAGAAGGAUAAGCUAAGCAAGAAGAUGGAAGGAGAGGCGUCAAGCAUAAGGGAGAAGAUGGAACAUAUGAUGAAGUCAAGGAAGGCAUUGAUAAUGAAGACAUUGGAGACAAAGCUCCUUAUCAACGAGAAUAAGAAAGAGGUGAAGCUUGCACAAGUUGAAGCAAGGCGUGAAGAAGCCAAGCGCAAGGCCGACCUGGAGGAGAGGAUGAUCAAGGUCAAAGAAGCAAAGGCAUGGAAAGAACUCAUGGUGGAAGAGAAGGAGCACAUAAUGAUGUCCAAUAAGGACAUUGAUGAAGACCAAUUGAUGUGGUGGAAGGAGUACAAGGAGGACAUCGCGGAGAGGAAGAGGAUAUUCUGUGGUGCGUCCUCUACUCUUCGAGGUGAUACUCCGAUGAGUGGUGGUGGCGAUGGCAGUGUGGAGGACUCCACCACCGGCGAAAAUGGAGGUGCUUGAUGGACGUGGAAGUGGUCUAGGAGAUGGCGCUGAGGUGCAACUUUUUGGUGAUGGUGCCGAUGAGAGGGGGAAGAUGAUGAUUUUAUGAUGUAAACUAUUAAACCAUGCAUCAAUGAUUUUCAUUUCCUAGUUUGUUUCAAGGUUGAUUGUGUUUUUCUAGUGAUAAUUGUGAUAUGUCAAAUGACAGAUUUAAGGGUUGGGGUUGCGGCAAAGACUAAACCCUCAAAUUCAACCCUUAUAACGGAGUAUUCUGUUAUAAGGGUUGGGUUUGAGGGUUCUAGUCUUUGCCCCUGUUUUUCAAUCCUUAAAAGUGCCAAAAAAUGCCAAUUCUCAACCCUUCAACUGGUAUGAGGGUUUGAGGGUACUACUAGAGAUGCUCUUAGCGUGCACACCAUCUCACUUCAGAUUUGUCUGUGUGUGUGGGAGUUUUCGUCCUACCCAACCCGGUUAGACGCGUCGGAAAUCAGCCCAAUUUGACUAGUGGUUGAGUGCUAAAUUUUUGUUUGUUGAGAGAGAGAAUAUCACAUGAAACCUAAGUUUUGAUAAAAAUCACCCAGAAUAGAUAUUAUUUUGAUGUUCCGAAAUCUCCAUUAGAUGUUGAUUUUGUUUCUUCAGCUCGUCCUUAGGGCGUCUCCAAAGCUGACCCGCCAAUAGUUUCGAUAUAUAUCCGUUUUUAUGUCCGGACGUAGUCCGUGGACGGUUGUCGAGGACAGGUAGACUUCGUUGACUAUAGCAUUUACUGUAGCUACAAUUGUACAGUAUACGAAGGAGAUGUGCCUAAGCCCUAGGCCGUCGCUCCUUCUAUCUGGGGCGUGAAUCCGUCCAUGUCGGUGGAUAUAAUCAGGAGUCGGCCAUUCAAUUGUAGGUGCAAACAUCCGCCUCUAUUAAUGAUUUUCAAGAAAUCAACUCAGCCAAAUUAACCUUCCACAAAUAGAAAAUCUACCUUCCGUUGAAUAGAAAUCAACCUUCACUUAUUUGAAUCAAUCUUCCACCAUUUGACGUAUACUUAUAAAGAAAUAUUUACUCUCGUAAUUUUAGGUGCGACAAUGAGAAUUGUCUAAAAAAAUAGAUGGAAUUGGACCUAGAAAAACCAUUCAGCUUCAUUAUGGAUUAGGUAUGACUGGGUGAAAAUCCUUUUGAAGGAAGCUAUUCAAGAACGGAUGGAACGGCUUUCCCUUCAAUAACAAAUAAAUUUUACAUAUGGGAAUUGGUUGAAGUCGAGGGAUUAGCUUAUAUAGAUAGACGCGGCGGGGGCACGGUGUUUAUCCGGUCUCGUGUUAGAUCCUAUGAUUUGGUUAGUUAGCCUAUGAGAACAAGUCACAAGUUAUUUCCUCUUUCAAUCAAAUGAGGUACUUCCUCGGUUUAGAAGGCACGUUUGGAAAAUCUCUCGGAUCAAGGUAGUCAACGAUUGGUUGUGAGAUGUAGUAGGUGUAUAUGCUAAUGCGCCUAAUCAACUGGAAAAAAUAAGAGUACUAAUGCUUGAGCAGCAAAUUAGGAGGGCGCAUGCAUGAGUAGUGCUAGUACUAAUUAAUAAGAGUAAUUGCUUUCCCGCCUUAAACCUUGUCUAUUUUGAAAACGCACGCAAGUUUAACCGUGCCUUCUAAACCGUGACGGAGAGAGUAAUUAACGUGAAGUAACAGGGUAAUAAAUCUACAUUUUUAAUACAAACUAUUAAUAAACUAGUAGGAAGAAAUAUGUGUUUUUAAUGUGGAGUAAUCAAUAGACGGUCCUAAGCUGCUCUCGCCCCAACCCGGACAUGGGUACACGGCGGCUUUUGAUUGGCCAAGCGCCGGACUCCUGUAAGGCCUCACCUUAUCGACGAUUGGUCUAUCUCUGUCUACCUCAAGUGUUGCUUUGUUGCUUAUCCUUUGUGUGCUUGCUACUUAUCUUCAGCAUUUGUGUAUCUAGCCUUAGGUUGUCUGAGGUGGUGUUUGUAAUCGUAUGAUUGUAUGUGAUCGUUGUUUUAUAUAUAAAACGGAACGCGAGCCUAUUUCGUCGUAAGCUGCAAUGCACAACAGAAUGGUAUAUACGAGCACUGUUGGGCUGAGGCAGGGACCGGCUCCCUCGUUGGUUACCUAUGCGGCACCGCUUGGCGGCGGCAAGGUAGGCACGGGUCAUCGUAGACAUGUCGAGAGCAGAGUUUGGUAAAGGAUCAGUAGGUUUACUAGCGUGAGUGAGACCAAGAUGAGAUGGGCAGAGCAAGAGGUGAUUCUUUUCAGCGAGAGGAGGCAUCGAUCCAUUUUGUAGGAGCAUGUGCGUGAGUGCAGUGUCAGUCAGUGUGCACUCCGUUUUGUUGGCCAUGUGAUGUGCCUGUCCUGGCGCUCCCAGUUUUCGCCCUAGCUAGCUCGGCAAUCCCGUCAGCGGUUCGGUGCAAAACCUUUGCUUGUUUAGCUGGCGUUAUUCCCGGGAGUGCAUGAUAGUUACCGGAGUAGUUGAUUUCCAUUUUCUUAUGAUGACGCUAAAAACACUUGCCAUCUUUGUUAAUUUAGAAGAAAAAAAUUAUCCUGUUAAUUUAGAAAAACCAGAUGAAAACUGUAGCAACACGCCCAACCAGACUAUCAUAGUCAAACAUAUGACAAUAGAUAUGUCAGAGGCCGAUCUUGCUACCAACGUAGACUCCAUACUUAACGGAGAAGACAACUUCCGCAAUGGCUGCAUAGAAACGUCACUCAUCGCCCUCAAUCUAUUUUUUAUUUUUUUGGAAAAGGAGGUUUAACCCCGGUCUCUGUAUCAAUCGAUGCAUACGACCAUCUUUAUUAAUUAUUUAAUAUAGGUCUAAUAAAAACAUACGUCAAACCAUCCGAAAUCAUCACUCACACCUACAAAACUCGAUAAUGUGUAGUGCUCUCACUCCCCAUAUCUAAAACCGGUGCCCUCAUCGAUCCAUCCACAUAACGUAUCGGAACUCACAGCCGGUGCAACACACCUAAAGCGUACACCACAUGUACACGUUUUAGACGCCGUCAUCAUCAUCAGGCGCUGACCCAUCUUUUGUAAAAAGAUGUGUAUCAUCCUUGCCAGUCCGUCCAUCCGUAGACGCCACCACGGCUCGUCAGUCCAGACGCGAAGAUUCUGGAAGAUCUGUCGUGCGUAGCACCUGCCGACCAGGCAUGACACAACGUAGCACGUGUCGGCCAGGCAUGACUUGACAUCUCCACCGAAAGCUUUGUGCAAGAUGAUCGGCGCCACCAUGGCGCCAAACAGCGCCACCGCCCUGCGCUCAUUCGUCGAAACACAAAGAUUCUGGAAGAACUGUCGUUCGUAGCACCUACCAACCAGUCAUGACUCAGCGUAGCACCUGUCGGCCAGGCAUGACAUGACAGUUCCACCAAAUCUUCGGGCCACACAAAGCUGCUCCAUCUCCUGCCUCUGUCAUCCAGCGCUGCUCCACAAACAAUGCUCCCAAGAGAGAAACGGCACCGCAGUACCGCCAUCGUACGAUCUGAAAAGUCAGAUCUUAGGGUUUCCUCCGAAGCAGUGCCCACCACCAGCAACCGCCCAGGACCCACAUAGUGCCCGCCACAACUCAGCCCUCAAGGCGACGCCUUCAGGAAGGUCACGACGUCAAGGACGCCGCCGCCUUCCACCGGAGUUAGGGUUUUCACCCGAGAGGCAGUGAGGUAGGAAGUGGAGGAGCAGACCUAGACCGACGUCUCCAGGAAGAACAACGGCGCUCUUGAGCGUCGUCGGCGGCGCGGCCGGCCAGGGCCGACCAAUGGGUUCCCCCGUACCUGAAUCUUCUCCACCAGCUUCAUCCGCGGCCACGCCGGCAACGCCAGAAAACCGCAGGAGAGAAGCACACCGCGGGUAUUUGGAUCAAUGAAGAUUCAAUCUAAACAGUGACGAGUACCACCACCCUGCGCUGGCCGACGGCGUCCGGGCGCCGGAUCCAGAAGGAUCUGACCCCUCGCCCUCGAUCUAAUGACUCCGACUCCAACAAAAAUGGCCAUAAACAAACUAACCGGUACAAGUUGAUGCAUGGAACCAAAAUUCACUAUGCUUAGAAGACAUCAUCAGCCAUGGAUGCACACAGGCGUCAUCAGAGGCGACUAAAUAAAAUGAUGCUGCUUGUAGUACCCACACCAGACCGAAUAAAAAUGAAACCGUUUGUAGAGAGACAUUUUACUAGCAUCCACACACUCUGCGAAGAUAGCUGCCUCCGAAUCCCACCAUGUGAUAGUCUAGUUCCGCUUUGAGGCGAUUGACACCAAGAGAAUUAGCGAUAACUGGCGACCGGUGGUUUCUCCAGGCGGCUCAACUCUAAUCUUGUUCAGUAGUAGUGGGUGUUUUGUGUUAGGGCUGGUGUCUCCUGGUUUCAUGCUCAAUGUUGACUUAGAGACAAUUUUUUUGGCCUUUUUAGACUUCUAAAAUAAGCUGCCUUCUAUCCAUUUUAUUCUAAAAGCCUAAUUCAAUUUCUUUUUAAAAACAUAUUAGACAAUUUAAUUAUUAGCUUUCUAAGAAAAUUAAUUUGGUUGGACUUCUGAAAUAAGCAAGAAUAGGAGGCAACCUAUUCCAUCUUAUUCUAGAAGCCGGCAAAAAAUAAACUGGCCUUCAGUUAUUCUUGUGCCAACAAACCAGUACCGUUUUAUUUUACUUUUAGUUUGUUUGCAUGAGGGUUGUCUCAUCAUAUUAUAUCGGUUCGACCGAUUGUGGCUUUAUUCGAAAAGGGGGCGAAAGACUCUUUUGAAAAAGGUUUAAUCGUGUGAGGUGAGGUGUCAUGAUCCUCACGUGCAUUUCGGAACAGAACAGGGGAGGAGCAGGGGAUCAAAAGAUUUAACUAGUACCACGGUGUUAUCUCGGCAUUUUGCAAUGCUCUGACGCAUGUCAACUGGUAAUCAUCAUAAGGAAAACACGAGCCAUGGCACAUGAACCAGGGUCGUACAAAAUUAAAACUAGUUGUUAUUAACUCAAGAUAUAUGGAAUGAUACUAAGAUGGAGAAGGUGGCAACAUUAUUUCAUUUCAUCCAUAAUCACACAAGUGCUUGCUUGAUGGCCCCUCUACUACUACUAGCUCAAGGUCUGAAGAAUGAUCGCGGACGGGGACGAGCCGGAGCCGCGGCGGCGCCACCGAAGGAGGUGUCUUUGAGGUGGUCAGGGGCGCUCUCGUAGGAGUGCCUCCUCGCCAGCGAGAGGAUGGUCUUGUCGGCGGCGACGAAGUAUGCCAUCCCGGCGACGGUGCAGACGAUGAGCGCCUGGCCGGUGGGGUUGAGGUUCGCCUUGGCCCACGGCAGCAUCCUCACGCUCGCCAGCUGCGUGAUUAAUAGUAGUUCAGUUAUGGAAACCACAGUCCAACGUGCAUGGAAAUCAACAACAAUUCCUGGACGGAGGAGCUCACCGUGGGGACUGCCGACGCGACCGUGGCGACGGCCGCAGCCUUUGCUCCGGCGAACGUUGCCUCUAGGAAAGAUUAAAAGAAAAAAAAGAAUGAACCGCUAGUAUCAGACUAUCAGCACACAACUGAGCUCUGAAGAAGUGCAUCCUGGUCAGUGGUUACUACCUCUGGAGCAGCGUUUGGCGAGGGCGAGCUUGUGGUCGAGGGACGCGCGGGUGACGGUGGCCGCCGACGACGACAUCUUCACCGUGAUAUUGUACAGAAACGGCUGAGUGCGAUCGAGUGAGAUGGUGUGGGCUGGCUGGUUCGUUGUUGCUCGAUGCAUCCAGACGAGGAGCUAGCCGUGUAUUUAUAGCGAGCAAAAAGGUUGCCGCCAUGCACGGUUUUGGGUGCAAACCGUGGGUACUCUGCUAUGAUCCGCUCAUUUGGACUUUAGAGUACACAACUGAGUUGGUGGGCGGAGCACCGCACGCUAUCUAAAAACUAUGGCAGCAAUCCACAGGAUUUGAUGAUGCUUGUUUGUUAGAGGUAUAUAUCCUCCAUGGCUCAAUCGCCUUUCUUUCUUUACCCACCAAAGCUGGUGAAAAAAGAGAGAUCUAAAGUUAGGCACAACAGUGCUGAUCUGAGCACAAUACUACGUAGAUAAUUGCUACCGGACGCAUUUGUUCUUUGUAAGAUAAGAUAACAAAUAUGAAACGGAGCAGGUGCCUCCGGGUCCACUCGUCAUCGUCGGUCCGUCGGUCGGCGAGCGGCGCUCCCAGUUUUCCGGCGAAACCGGCGGCAUGUGCUCCCCGGCCGGACUAGCUCUUCAUGCGUGAGCUGCUUUGGCAUUUCUCCACAUUUUUCUCCAGUCUGCGGCCCACCCAUAUUGCAUACAACAUUUAUUCUUCAGGUUCGUUGCACAAGAUACAGUCUGUUGGUGUAACCUGUUGUUGCUGCAAUCUCCAAUUCAUUGUUUUUUUUAAUAAUCUAAUUCAUUGUUUCAUUGUACGUUGACAUGAUUCCCAAUGAUUUGAUCCCGCUUGUAAGUGCAUACAAUGACAUCAACCAGCCAAUAAGAACUACCUCGUAGGUUUAGUUGCUCAUUAUUAUACAAUUACGACAUGGCAGUUUUAGUCAUUCAUUACCAUUUUUUGUUUAAAACUUGACAUUUAAAAAUGGCCUUUUAAAUUUGUGUCCCUAACUUGAAUCCAUAAUUCAGAUUUGCCCUAAUUUCAAAGCAUAUGCUCAAAUUUACACCUCUGCCGUUAUGUGUCCUUACAAAAAUAUCCUUCUGUACCAUAUUUUUAAUUGACAAAUUAUAGAGACUAUUUUGUCAUAUGGUAUUAUUAAAGAAGUUUUUUUUCUGUGGGUCAACGCACCAUAGUUUUGAACCUUACGUAGUGACGGAGCCAGUAUUUGGAUGUGGCCGUGGAUAGGGGGGCCAAAUACUUACAUACUAUGACAUAUCAAUCAAAUAUACACUAGGUACUUCAGAUUUUAUCGACCGUUAGGGGGAGCCAGGCCCCUGCUCGCCCCCUUGUCUCCGCCCCUGACCUUACGCGUAGAUAUGGAUAUACUUUUAUCUAACGAACGAUUAAGAAAGUGUUAAAGUAUUCCGGCCUCUGGUGACAAACACUUCGAACCUACACAUGACGGCUUUAUGAGUCUCUAGUGAUAAACACCUCAAACCUACACAUGACGACUUUAAUUAUGAGCCUUUGCUGACAAGCACCUCAAACAUGCACAUACGGCUUUACGAAUACAAAAAACUCAUGUUUUUUUAAUUAUUACAUGUUUUCCGACGAUAUACGAUCAAUGGGAGUAGGCAUUCUGGUCGACUAUGAUGACGCAUGUAGCAACUUCGACAAUUUUAAGAUAAUGUACCGGCUCAACCUAUCAAAGAUGCUCGCAAAGAUAGUAUGUGAGUGUGUACAUGUAAGUAUACGUGUGUAUAUACAAGUGUCUGCGCCUAUACUAUGUAUUGUGUUAAAUAACAAUACAUAAAGAUUGUUACGGUUUUCAAAAUAAAAGAAAAACACACGCUUCAAAACGUCAUUGUCUGUACUGUCUAUUAUGUUAAAUAACAAUACAUAAAGCUUGUUACGGUAUUCAAAAUAAAAAAGAACACUUGUUUCAAAACGGCCAAAUUUUUCAUUUUUAAACCCAUCCCUAUUUGUCAACCCAUCCAAUAAGCCGUAUCAAAAGAUUUAACGAGCGAGGUUAGAUGGCUUUGUCCUCACAUGCAUUCCGAAACAGAAUAGGGGCGGAAAAGGGAUCAAAAAAUGUACUUGUGGUGUGGUGUCAUUUCGGCGUUUUGCAAUGCUCCGAAGUACUUAGUACGCAUGCUAAAUGGUAAUCUUCGCAAACAAGAAAAAUAUUAGAUGAGUGAGGGCACUUGAACCAGAGAUGUACGAAAUUAAAACUACUCCCUUCGUUCCUAAAUAUAAGUCUUUCUAGAGGUUUCACUAACGGACAACAUACGGAUGCAUAUAGACAUACUUUAAAGUGUAGAAUCACUCAUUUUAAUUUGUAUGUAAAUCUCUAAUGAAAUUUCUUAGAAGACUUAUAUUUAGAAACAGAGGGAGUUGUUGUUAUUAACUAAAGAUCUCUGGAAAGAUACUAAGAUGGAGAAGUUGGCAACAUUAUUUCAUUUCAUACAUGAUCAGAUAACUAGUGCUUUGCUCGCAGUAAACAUCGCACUGGGCCAGAUCGCCCCAACAUUAUACUACUACUACGGGGCGGCGUACAGAGGUUGCUGCGCACUAGUUGAUCUACAACAUAAUUAGUGGUAGGAGGUCUUCUUGAGGUGCUCCGGCGCGUCCUGGAAGGAAUGCUUCCUGGCCAUGGAGAGGAUGGUCUUGUCGGCGACGAUGAAGUAGGCCAUCCCGGCGACGGUGGAGAUGAUGAGCGCCUGACCGGCGGGGUUCAGGUGCGCCUUGGCCCACGGAAGCAUCCUCACACUCGCCAGCUGCAGAAAAAGGCACGCAAGAAGAAGACGGUGAGAUGAUUAUUCGUUCGACGUCAAAAACUCAGUGGUGCAGGCUGAUAAACGUGUGCUUACGGUGGGCACUGCGGCGGCGACGGUGGCGACGGCCGCGGCCUUGGCUCCNNNNNNNNNNGUUUGGGAUCAACGUACGACUGUUAACCAAGUUCAGGUUUCAGCAGAAACAUAAGCCGCCGCAAUGAAUAGCAUUGCUGGGCUAAGGCUGGAAUCAGUCGUGGGCGCUUGGCGGCGGCGAGCCUCUGGUCGAGGUAGGGACGGGUCACCGUCGACAUGUUCACGGGCGGAGAGCUUGAUGUUGGCGACACGAGAUCGGAAGGAAGUGAACUAGUAGUGGCAGUAGCCCAGUAAUUCUGCGAGAUCGCCGACGGGCUAAGAUGAGUAGCAGUGUGAGCGAUAUGAGAUGAGAUGGGCAGAGCGAGAAUUUACAGGUUGCCGGGCAACCAGCGUGCGGCCGGGUUGACACUUGAUACGGUGGGAAGCAAGCCAGACCGUGUUUUUGAUACCGAGGGCCCGUUUGGUUUCAAAUAAGUCACCAACUUAUAAGUUGAAAAGUACAAAAAGUAGUUUAUUUUGCCAAACAGACCUAACUUAUAAAUCACCCCAACUUAUAAGUCAUAAGUUGCUUCACCCCCACUUAAACCUUAUAAGUCACCCACUUUUGCAUGGUCAGGUGACUUAUAAGUCAGAUGACAACCAAACAUGCGUGAUUUAUAAGUCACUGGUUUUAAGUCACCUGAUUUAAAAGUCACUGGCCCUGUUUGGUUUCAAUAAGUCAGGUGACUUAUAAGUCAGAUGACUCAUCUGACUUAUAAGGUCUGACUUAUAAGUGACCUUUAAGUCAGAUGACUCAUCUGACUUAUAAGUCACCUUUUCAUGCAAAAGUGGGUGACUUAUAAGUUUUAAGUUGGGGUGGAGCAACUUAUGACUUAUAAGUUGGGAUGACUUAUAAGUUGGGUCUGUUUGACAAAAUAAGUCACUUUUGCAUUUUUAAACUUAUAAGUUGGUAUUUGAAACCAAAUAAGGGCUAAGUCAUCUGAUUUAUUGAAAUCAAACAGGGCCCGAUACCGGCGGGCUGUGCGGAGGUUGAUAAAAUCCAUCAGGAUUGGCACGGAGCGUGUUCGUGUGUAGGAUAACAUAUAAGAGCAUGUGCGUGAGUGCAGUGUCACUCAGCGUGCACUCAAUUUUGUUGGCGAGUUGUCUGGGCGGGCGCUCCCAGUUUACGGCCAACCCGUCGGCGAUCCAAUUCUGCGAGCGGCUCGGUGCAGGGCAGAUCCUUUGAACAUUACCAUAUGCCGUAUAUCUAUGCGCGUAGAUAAAGUUGGUCACCCUUUUUGUCGGAGAUAAAGUCGAUCACCAGUUCAAAUAAUAUACUGCUCCCCCCCAUAAAAAAUAAGUGGAGCAUCGCGGUUUACAUCGAAUUGAUCGUAGGGAAUACUAGAAUCUUUAAUAAUCUACAACGGUGAAGACGCAUAGAAUUAACAGUUUUGCUGAAACUCAGCUAGCUGAGUUUUAAGUAUGGUCAUAGUCACUUUAUGUUUCUCUGGUUGUCUCGCUAGAUUCACCCUGUCUUUUGUUAAUUGCGGGAGCCAUGAUGGACGGCUCGUCUCGUAGGAGGAUCAGCCAUGUGCAUGAGUUUUCUCCAGGCCUUUUUGCUUAUUUAAACGAGCUGAGUUUUGUGAGUCUUUUCUUUAUUAACCGACGUAAAGAAAGAUGGGGUCUAAAGAUGCCACGCUGCUAGCUUUGUGCAUGUUUUGUCAUUUGUUCACUAUAGCUUCUAGGGGUAAUAAGUUCUUUCUUUUUUUCUUUUUCUUUUUUGCGGGUGAGGGCUAAGCUCAUUUUAAUUUCUUUUUCUUUUUAUCUUCUUCUCAUGAUGUAUCGUUGUAUUUUUUUUCUUCUGUUUUUCUUUCUUAUUUCACUAUAUAGAGUAGACAAUUGUUUCCCUAUUUUCUCUUUUUCUUGACUUUAGUAUAUUUACUUUGCUUUAGAAUAAAAUUCAUUUGUUACUGGAUAUUUCAAAUUGAUUGUUUAGGUUUUUAGUUUUGCAAAAAAUGUCUCUUAUUUUAUUUUUUUAAAAUACCCAUGUGAACACAAUAAUGAACUUGAGAUUGGAAAAAAGGGGCCGCAACUCUGCUCAGGAGGGGGAGUUGUCGGGGUCACUUGCAUGUUCACCACUAGACGUGCAACUGCAAAUGUUAUGACCUGAAUGCAACUGGAAGUUUCCAUGAGGGCCCGUAACUGCAUGUUUUUAAGACGGGGUCGCAACUGCACAUUUUCAGGAUGAGUUGCAACUGCAUGUUUUUAAGACGGGGUCGUAACUGCAUGUUUACAAGGUGGGCCGCAAUUGCAUGUGUUUUUUAAGAGGGGUCGCAACUGCAUGUUUUUAAGAUGAGUCGCAAUUGCAUGUUUUUAAGAUGGGUCCUAAUUGUAUACCCUCGAUGGGGGUUGUCGCAAUUGCACGCCUUCCAUGGGUUUGAUGUAAUUGCAUGCCUUCAACGGGGUUGCUGCAAUUGCAUGUAUUUUUGAUGGGGGUUGCAAUUACAUGCCUUCCAAGGUUUUGCCGCAUUUGCACGUCUUAUAGGGGUUGUCGCAAUUGCAUGCAUACGACGGAGCCAGUGCAAUUUUGUACCUUCGAUGGGGGGUUGUCGCAACUGGAUGCGUUCCACGUGGUUGUCAACUGCACACCUUCCACGAUUUUUGGUGUAAUUGCAUGCCUUCCACUAGGUUGCUGCAACUGCAUGCCUUCGAUGGGGUUGUUCCAACUGCAUCUGCUCCACGUGUUUUGUUCCAACUGUAUGUGCAAAUGCAUGCCUCCAAAGGAGUUUGUUGGAAUUGCAUGUCGUCGAGGCAUUUUGUUGCAACUGUAUGCCCGUAAGGGUUUUGGGCCAAGUAUAUGUCGAAAAUGGAGAAGUGCAAUAUAACAAACACCUUUGGUUAUAUAUAUGAUGUAAUGCGCUUUUUGUGCGAAUACUGGUGUUUUGAAUGUGUUUUGAAUAUGAUUUAUGCUAAUACCUUUAACGGGGUUGCUGCAAUUGCAUGCGUGCAACAGGGUCGCCGCAACUGCAUGCGUGCAACGGUGUCGCCGCAAUUCGCAUGCCUCCCAACUGAUGUUGUUUGUUGUUGAUGUUGAUGUGACCGCGUGCCUGCCGUAACUGCAUGCCCUCCCAUGUGUUUUUUGCCGCAAUUGCAUGCCUUCCAAUUGAUGUUGUUUGUUGUUCUUGAUGAUGUGACCGCGUGCCCGCUGUAACUGCAUGCCCUCCCAUGUGUUUUUUUCCGCAACUACAUGCCUUCNNNNNNNNNNGUCACUGCAACUGCAUGCCUGCAACGGGGUCGCCGCAACUGCAUGGCUUCGAUGGGGUUUGCUGCAAUUGCAUGCCUUCCAAUUGAUGUUGUUUGUUGUUGUUGUUGAUGUGACCGCGUGCCCGCCGUAACUACAUGUCCUCCCAUAUUUUUUUCCGCAACUACAUGCCUUCAACGGGGAUCGCCGCAAUUGCAUGUCUGCAACGGGGUCGCCGCAACUGCAUGUCUUCGAUGGGGUUUGCCGCAAUUGCAUGCCUUUCAAUGGAUGUUGUUUGUUGUUCUUGAUGAUGUGACCGCGUGCCUGCUGUAACUGUAUGCCCUCCCAUGUGUUUUUUUCCGCAACUACAUGCCUUCAGCGGGGGUCACCGCAAGUGCAUGCCUGCAACGGGGUCGCCGCAACUGCAUGGCUUCGAUGGGGUUUGCCGCAAUUGCAUGCCCUCCAAUUGAUGUUGUUUGUUGUUGUUGUUGAUGUGACCGCGUGCCCGCCGUAACUGCAUGCCCUCCCAUGUGUUUUUUUCCGCAACUACAUGCCUUCAACAGGGAUCGCCCCAAUUGCCUGUCUGCAACGGGGUCGCCGCAACUGCAUGGCUUCGAUGGGGUUUGCCGCAAUUGCACGCCUUCCAAUUGAUGUUGUUUGUUGUUGUUGAUGAUGUGACCGCGUGCCCGCCGUAACUGCAUGCCCUCCCAUGUGUUUUNNNNNNNNNNAUCAUCGCAAUUGCAUGUCUGCAAUUGGGUCGCCGCAACUGCAUGUCUUUGAUGGGGUUUACCGCAAUUGCAUGCCUUUCAAUGGGGUUUGCCGCAACUGCAUAGCUUCGAUGGGGUUUGCCGCAAAAAAACAUAAAGGGUUCAUGAGGUUUUUGCAUUUCUUAUUUUUUUCCCUAGCAUGCAGUCGGGUCAUAAGAACAAAUUGAGCAAAUAUGGAUAGCGAAUAAACCUUGCUUCAGAAAUAGAAAAACGAAAAAAUAGGAAGGCGGCAAGUGUUACCUUGGGUGUUGUAGUUAGUGAUACUUGACAGAUCAAUCUGGGUUGGUUCUUUUGAUUUUCUCAAUUUGUUCGUCUAUCUCAAUACGCAAGUACAAGUUUGAAGUCGGGUCGUAACUACAAGUUUCAUAGUCGGGUCACAACUCUGAAUUUUCAUAGUGGAGUCACAACAACAAACUCCAUCAUUUAGAAAGAUGAUGAUUUUUCAAUAAAAAAAAUAAAAAAACAUGAGACAAGACCGGGAUUGAUCCUGUGCGCCAGAGGCAUCAUGCUGGUGACUACUGCUGAACUAAAUCAAAACUAAAAAAAGCAAAAACACUCGUUUUUAGGACAGCAAAGAGAACACUCCAUAAAUGUGUUAUGGCAACUAAAAUUAUGUUGUACAUGCCAGCCGAGUAAGACGUAUAUACUUUUCUUAUGGGUUAGUAUGUUUGCUCUAGCCAUCGGCGACAAGAGUAGUAAAAAGGCCAAGCCUGAAAAAGCAAUACGGCAUGUGGAAAUCAUGGGGAGAAUAAAAAAAAGCCAACCAACAUAUAUGAUGAUGUCAUGUGAAUGAGACCAUAGAUAAAUCUUAGCUAGCUGAGUUCUAGGUGCUCCCUAGAAUUAACUAGCAGGUAGUGCGCGGCGGCACGCCGCGCCACAUGAAUUGAAAAAAUAUUUAGUUCUUUUACAUAAUAUUUAAUAAAUCGUCUUAAAAUUUGAUUCGUGGUAAAGUAGUCGAUAAAUGAAAAGGAUAUGUCUAGUUGGAUCUACAAAGUUCUUGUUCUUUCCUUGGACCUAGGAUAUUGAUCCUCUAGCUGAGUCGAUGUACUGGUUUUUUUUAGAAAAGGAGGAUGACCCCCGGCAUCUGCAUCUGGAAGAUGAAUGCGGUCAUUUUAUUGAUUAUUUUCGAGAACCUUACAAAACAGUACAACAAUAUGCCUGAAUCCGUCAUCUUUGCAACAUUUGUCGCUACUCCUAUCCAUAUGAUGAAGGGGUGCAAGCUGGACCAAAUACCCAUACCUCUCACCUAAGCCUAACUUCUAAAGCCGGAGACCCUGACCGGGCCACAUACCGGAUCCGGGGCACAAACCGGUCUGACACACUCACAUGUGUCAUCACCGCCAUCUUCCAUUGGUCCAUCUUCAUAUCAGAUUGAGGUACCAGCCUUGGCAGGUGUCUCCGCCAUCGACGCCACCAUGACGCCAAACGACAACCUCCACCUACGCGAGUCCAUCUCCAAGCAACGGACGGAGAUCCAUGCUAGGAUAGGGCCGCACCACCGCCGUUGCCCACCACCCACAAGCGCCACCCAGCCCCAAGAUUCCCAAAGAGGCGCCUUCAAGAAGGGAACGACGUUGUGAGCGCCGCCGCCGCCCAACAAAGUUAAGGCUUUCGCCCGGAAGACCUAGGGAAAGGGGAAGUGAGGGGAUCAGUCCAUACCGACGCCUCCAAGGAGGGGAACGGCCCCCUCAGGCGUCGCCGUCGACGCGGCCGGCCAUGGCCGACCAGGGAUUUCGCCCGAACUAGAUCCCCACCACCAGCAGCACCUCCUGUACAAAACCGACAAUCCAAGGAAGCGCGGCCUGACCAGGCUGGCCCGCACGCCGAGCAGGGGAGGAGGGGAGGCGCCAGAUCGCGCGCACCGACCACCGCAAAAGCUGCCGCCAGACGCCAACGACCACCGGGUCCCGUCGCCUGCGCGGCCGAGACGCCGGAUCCACCUCCCGCACGGCUGCUAGCCUGUCGUGCCUCGCCAAUGUAGCCGUCGCUCCAGAUCCGGGACUCCGCAUGCAGAGGCAGGGCAGCCUAGGCCCCGCCGCCACCAUCCUUGGCGUCCCGAGCUUGCCCGGCGGCUGCCUCAGGCGGCGGCGAGGAAGGGAGGGGGAGGGGGAGGCGGCUNNNNNNNNNNNNNNNNNNNNNNNNNNNNNNNNNNNNNNNNNNNNNNNNNNNNNNNNNNNNNNNNNNNNNNNNNNNNNNNNNNNNNNNNNNNNNNNNNNNNUUACAUAAAAGGUUUAAUACAUUAUUACAUUAUUGCACCAAUAUUCCUAUCUAUUAUUUCUGUUUUCUUCUGGGUCGUAGCCAUGGAGAAUCUUCAUCAUUCAGUAGGAUGCUUGGGUCAGUUUUCACUUUGAAGGGCGGAAUUUCAUGAAACUUAUUAUAAUCUUCUGACAUGUCUGUCUUGUCAUCUACUCCCACGAUGUUUCUUUUCCCUGAAAGAACUAUGUGGCGUUUUGGCUCAUCGGAUGAUAUCUUCUUUUGCUGAUUUCUUUUUCUCGUUAAUGUAGACAUGUCUUUCACAUAGAAAACCUGAGCGACAUCAUUGGCUAGGAUAAAUGGUUCGUCCAUGUAUGCAAGAUUGUUAAGAUCCACUGUUGUCAUGCCGUACUUUUGGUCUACAACUAACCCGCCUCCUGUCAGCUUCACCCAUUUGCACCGAAAUAAAGGGAUCAUAAAAGUAGGUCCAUAGUCAAGUUCCCAUAUCUCCUCUAUGUACCCGUAAUAUGUUUCCAAACAGUGCCCAUUCUCGUCUGUUGCAUCAAAGCGGACACCACUAUUUUGGUUGGUGCUCUUUUUAUCUUGGGCAACCGNNNNNNNNNNNNNNNNNNNNNNNNNNNNNNNNNNNNNNNNNNNNNNNNNNNNNNNNNNNNNNNNNNNNNNNNNNNNNNNNNNNNNNNNNNNNNNNNNNNNUUGUAAUGGAGCUUCGCCGGAGCAUCGGUGCUGUGUUGGAGCUCCACCGGCUGCAAUGGAGUUUUUCGAAGUUGCAAUGGAGCUCGUCGGACGCUGUCGGUGCUGCAUUGGAGCACCAUGCGGCCUCUGUUCCAUGUCGGGAAUUUAAUCUGACGAUGAGGGCUCGUUCAAUCGGACGGCUACCUAGGAGGAUUACGACUGGUACAAAUAGCAGCCGCCUUUGGAAAAUGGUCACAACUCGUGUCCGAAAAAAUAUUACUUAAAGCAUCUACAAAGGCAACUUGUAAAUUCGUUCUAUCAAAUGUAUGCAGACACGCCUAAACUUAGAUGUACUGUUCCUUCAUUUUAAAAUAUGUCUUUUUAAAAGAUUUCAAUGAAAACUACAUGUGGAUGUAGAUAGUAGAGUGUAGAUUUAUUUAUUUUGCUUCACAUGUAAUUUAUAUUAAAAUCUGUAAAAAAGACUUAUAGUAUUUAGGAACGAAGAAAGUAAUCGGUUAGCCCGACAUAAAGUUGUUAAUAAUAUACUCCCUUCGUCUAAAAAAUAAGUGACUCAACUUUACACUAACUUUAGUAUAUAAAUUAAAUUAUUUUUGAGUCAUUUGUUUUAAAACGAAAGGAGUAAUACUCAUCUACUCUCUCCGUAAACUAAUAUAAGAGUGUUUAGAUUACUAUUUUAAUUAUCUAAAUACUCUUAUACUUCAUCCGUCUUAAAAUUCUUGUCUUAGCUUUUAUCUAGAAAUGAAUGUAUCUAANNNNNNNNNNNNNNNNNNNNNNNNNNNNNNNNNNNNNNNNNNNNNNNNNNNNNNNNNNNNNNNNNNNNNNNNNNNNNNNNNNNNNNNNNNNNNNNNNNNNNNNNNNNNNNNNNNNNNNNNNNNNNNNNNNNNNNNNNNNNNNNNNNNNNNNNNNNNNNNNNNNNNNNNNNNNNNNNNNNNNNNNNNNNNNNNNNNNNNNNNNNNNNNNNNNNNNNNNNNNNNNNNNNUAUAUCUUGUAAGAAAUUAGUAUAUCUUUGGUGAGGAAAUUGGAACACAAGGUUGCAUGCAACGUGCCUGGCUGGCUGGACGGGAGAAGACAGAAGAGCUCUGUAACAAGAGAAGAAAGAAGAGAAGCAAGGAAGGUGGCUCUUGUUACCGGCGAUCAGUGGCCGGUCCAACUCCAUGGCCGGAGCUUCCGCCGGCGGCUUCGUCGGCCUCGGACUCCACCCACCACCGGUGCCUGUGCCGGUGCGACCGCGCGUCCGAGAGAGAGAGAGAGANNNNNNNNNNNNNNNNNNNNNNNNNNNNNNNNNNNNNNNNNNNNNNNNNNNNNNNNNNNNNNNNNNNNNNNNNNNNNNNNNNNNNNNNNNNNNNNNNNNNNNNNNNNNNNNAGAGAGAGAGAGAGAGGGACCGUGCUUAUAUAUAUGUAUGUAGGAGAUGAAGCGAGACUCAGUCAAGCAGUCUCUCCCCUCGAUGGGACUGCUACAGAUCGAAACCGCGUGCGGUGGGCAGGUGGAAGGGGGAGCUGACCGCAGUCCGCAGGUCAUCGCCUGACCACUGUUUUGUACCACCACUAACAUAACACUGUAAACCAGCGUUGCUCUCUCGGCUUUAUUGCACAACAGCAAGUUGCCAUCGCGUCAUCUAAGUGAGCUCGACCAAGCCGGCGUCGUGGCAGAAUCCGGUGCUCGCUUGACCGGACCCGCUCCCCGCGCGCGCGUGCCUUUCCUCCCAGUAGCUCGUAUUUGACCCGCUCCUAAUGAUCGUUUCUCUCUCUCUCUCNNNNNNNNNNNNNNNNNNNNNNNNNNNNNNNNNNNNNNNNNNNNNNNNNNNNNNNNNNNNNNNNNNNNNNNNNNNNNNNNNNNNNNNNNNNNNNNNNNNNNNNNNNNNNNNNNNUCUCUCUCUCUCUCCCUUUUGAUUUCUUUUUUCUGCGGUAGCAUGCAUGACAAUCCGUCCUGCCGUAGGCAGAAUAUAUUCGUGGACGCACUCCACGCACGUGGCAAAUACUACUCCCUUCGUUCUUAAAUAUAAAACAUUUUAAAAAUCUCACUAUAAACUACAUGCAUACGGAGUAAAAUGAACGAUAUAUAUCCGUUUGCAGUUUCUAAUGAAAUUUCUAAAAGGUAUUAAUAUUUAGGAACGGAGGGANNNNNNNNNNNNNNNNNNNNNNNNNNNNNNNNNNNNNNNNNNNNNNNNNNNNNNNNNNNNNNNNNNNNNNNNNNNNNNNNNNNNNNNNNNNNNNNNNNNNAGGUGCUACCUUCCGGGCGCGCAUCUUGGUGAAGAACUAGGUUCCCGUCGUCGACCGAGAACUUCUUUGGUGGCGGUCACAUGGACGACUUUAGGUGCGGAGGCAGCCGGCCCCCGAGGAGGAGGUACAUCGCCGUGUCAGGGAGGAGGACGAACACGUCCAUCGCUACAUUGAGGCGUUUGGCGUCAGGUUCUCUGAUACCUGGCAGGUUCUUCAGGGAUCUCACCCGAGCUAUGAUCCUCUGAUGGUUCCUUCUCUUUGGGUGUCCAUCGUCCGCGCCUCAGUACAUCGAUAGCUCUUUGGGUGGUCUGUUUAAUAAUAUUCGAGAUAUGUAUUAGUGAUAAUACUCGAGAUGUAUUCGACAAAAUAUUCUGUGAUGCAUUAAGUGGAUUAUUUGAUGUAUUACUGAUAUUAUAUAUGAUGAUCUUGCUAGCUAAAGUGAAUACUAGAUUGUUUUAUCUUUCUUCUUGAUUAGUUAAGCUAUGGACGGUAGAGACAGAGACCAUGAUCAAGAGUAUGUCUUGUUCGACAUGAUAUGCUCCGGAAACAAAAAGAAUUAAGAAGCAGAUGAUGGCUCACAAUAUCUUAACCUAUCCAGUGAGGGAAUAGAGGAAGAACAACCAAGAGACGAAGGGGAACCUGACAAUGUAUUAAUUGAUUUACACACACACACACACNUAUAUAUAUAUAUAUUAACGAAUCUCUUCUUUUAGCCCUCCGGAUCGAGCAAACCUUCUACAAGAAGGGCAAUACGAGGCCCGGCCAAAAAGUUGCCCGAGGGCACAAGGUACAACAUCGACGAGAUAACAUUAGGGGGUGAACCAAAUGCCCCCAAAAAGAAUAUGGACAAAUUUGUUCGUCAAUGCAGAGUUAUUGUUAGGGACCAAAUCCCGAUCUCCAUUCAACCAACCGGUCUUGAGAUUAAGGUAGUCAGUCUAAACACCUCAUUAUCGACGGAAACGAAUAUUCUGUUGGAUCUGUAUGCAAGAAGGAAACACAGUUGGAUUGGGAGGCAGGGAAAACAACAUCUUCUGUAGUACAUAGAUUUAUUUCAUAGACACCUUUGCAUCGGAUCGGUAGGAGAUUGACGGUAGUGCAGAGUAGGAGAUGGGGAUUACCUUCUCCCUGGCUCGAAGAGCUCGCCCCAGAGGCCAUGGUAGUGGGGCGUCGGUGAUGACGACUGAGAACGAUGUGGUGGCGGUGGUGCUUCCCGUGAGCACUACGCUAGUCCUAGUUUGGAAGGGUUUGUCGGUGGGGUGUGUGGUGGCGGCGAAUCUCAUAGUCCGUGCCCCAGCCCCCCACCUCUGUUAAUAUAGCGCGGAUCACAGGGGCCCACCAACCAUAAUGGGUGUGGCGCCCCCGAUCAGGGCNNNNNNNNNNNNNNNNNNNNNNNNNNNNNNNNNNNNNNNNNNNNNNNNNNNNNNNNNNNNNNNNNNNNNNNNNNNNNNNNNNNNNNNNNNNNNNNNNNNNGUGCGCGUAGGAAAAAUUUUGUUUCCCAUGCGACGUUCCCCAACAGAAAUAAGUACCAGUACCUGAGAUUUUGAUGGUCUCUAGGAAUGUGAAAAUUAGAUACUUGUGACUGCUAUAAAGUCUAUGUUAGNNNNNNNNNNNNNNNNNNNNNNNNNNNNNNNNNNNNNNNNNNNNNNNNNNNNNNNNNNNNNNNNNNNNNNNNNNNNNNNNNNNNNNNNNNNNNNNNNNNNNNNNNNNNNNNNNNNNNNNNNNNNNNNNNNNNNNNNNNNNNNNNNNNNNCUAACAUAGACUUUAUGAAGGGUCUACAAGGCAAAUAUGACUCCAGAGGAAAUAUGUAAAUGUGUAAAACAUGACUUAAAUCGAAAUAUUUUGUGCAAAGAAAAUGAGAGGACAAUUGCAUUCUUGCAAAGUUAUAGAAUGGGAAAUUUGUUUCCCAAUUCCUAUGCAUGUGGAUGAUGUCCUACUUGCUAGUGGUGAUGUCAAUCUACUGCAGGAGGAGAAAAGAAGUUCUUGUCCUCAAAGUUCAAAAGAAUAAAAGGGGGUAUUAGGAAUGUUGCAUGGACAUGCUAAGAAAGAUCUCUAAAGUAUGCAUACGACAAAACCUACGCAUGUUCUUAUAGUCAAGGGUAAUGGAAGUGGAAACUAUGGUGUUCCAAAAGUUAAUAAGAAAAGAUUGUAAACGGAUAUGGUACCAUAUGCUUCAGUUGUUGGAAGCUCAAGAUAUUACCCUGACACUGUUCACGUAUAUAUCCGGGUUGUUUUGGCAAUGUCCAGUCCAUAGAUAAAUCAAUGGAAUGGAGUCAAAGAUAUCGGCCUCAUGCUAAAAGAAAUAAGUGCUCUCAAAAGAUUGUGAGUACAAAGGCAGGACUUGUGAAAUGAAUAGCGAAAUCAACAAUUGUCGCUAACUUUCAUACUCGGAGUUUUGUGUGGAAAAUCUCCAAAUGAGUGAAACGAUUGUCAUCAAUGUGAUGCAAUGAUAUGUUAUAACUUUAUAUGAGGCUGAGGGAUAGGCGAAAUGGUUAAUGGCUACAUAUACCCGGAAUUGAUAAUGGUUGACAACAACGAUAACUAUUUUAAAUUCUUUCGCUCCUGUCACAACGAGUCAAGUGUUGAUGCCAAACACACUGACAAAGAGUUAUGUGUUGUGAAGGAGAAAGUCCAGAAUUAUGAAAAAAUGCUUGAAGCAUAAAAGCAACAAACAAGUGUUUGCAGAUCUGCUUAUCAAAGGCUUACCGCCCCGUGUGUUCGGAGAACACACAGUCGACAUGGGUUUUAUGGUAUAGUCUAAUAUUUUCCGGACAAUAAAGGGCCCAAGGUUAAAGAAUCUGUCUCAAAAUAGAGAGGUACAUUAUGGAUGUCUGAUUCCAUCGGCAAUUGAGCCGUGACGAUGAAACAUGCCCUAUGUAUUGAUCUGUUACGAAACGGGUAAAAGUAUAUGAUGACAUCAAGGGGGAGAAUGUUAGAUUGAUCUCUUUCCUAAUGGGCCCAACGGCCCAUUGGACCUUGACUCACGCCCUGAUCAGGGGCGUCCAGCCCAAGCAAGGCUGGUGGGCCCUGUCGCGCAGUGUUGUAUAUAGAGGAGGUGGGGACCAUGGCACAGACUACAAGGUUCGCCGCCGCCACUGGUUCCCCACUCCUAACCCUAAUCCGAUCUAGAGGGAUGCACUAAAGCGAUGGGAAGUCCACCGCCGCCGCUACCGCAUCUCUCUCUGGUUCCCCACCGUCGCCACUACGUCACGACAGUCACCGAGGGAACUCAUCGAGCACGGGAUAAGGUAACAUACCACUACUCUCAUCGAACACAUCUAGACUUGUCGAUCCACGGGAUCUAUCAAACCGUGCAUACCCUUGAGCAUUAGCCAAGUUUAUAUCUACUUAAUUAUUGUGACAAAUAGAAGUGGAUAUUCAUUUGUGUCAGAUGGGGAGAAAAUAUAAAUAAUCUUUGUGUUCUUUUUCCUUUUUAGAAACAGGCAGGUAGUUAGUAUCUUGCCCGGAUACUAUGUAUACAGCCAGUAAAGAUCAACCAUAUAAUUUUCCUAUGUAUGGACUGAUACAAAAAUUAUUAAAAAAUAAGGUCUAGAUUUUAAACCCUAAACCGGUACAAUUAAUAGCACAGAUCCUUUAUCAUAUACUCCCUCUUUUCGGAAUUACUUGUCACACAAAUGUAUAAGAAUAGAUGUAUCUAAAACUAAAAUAUAUCUAGAUACAACCAUUUAUGUGACAAGUACUUCCGAAUGGAGGGAGUAUUGUAAGAAUCACAAUAAUAUAGAUAAUUUAACACCUUAGUCUUGUAUCACAGAUUCGACAGCAAAAGAAUUGUCAUUUACUAAAUGAAAAGCCUAACUGCAGUUAGCAGUAAGAGUGGGCAUCUAAACAAUUAUUAUACACACCUCUAACCUGAGAGUGCUUGGUUCACAGAAAGCCUUUUAUGUGUAUGCAAAUGUAAAUUUCUCCCAGGAAAACAUCAUUUGAGAGCAUAUCAAAGCAUACAUAUUAUGUACUAUCUGCAUAAGUGCAUAACCUGAUUUUGUUUGAAGAAAAUGAAAACCAUGAAUGACAAAUUGAAAAGCUCACGGUACCUAAGAAAUUAAUGAACAGGAAUUUGAUUUCCCCUCACACAUUAACACAAGCAUGGUACCAGCAGGUUAGAUCGAGGCACAAACGUCAACCAGGGAAGCACGUGAAAUAAAAGAGGAAGGGCACUACAAGAGAAAAAGAGUUAUAUCUAACGGGCGGACAGCCGGAGCUUCUUUGUAGCUCCCGUGGCCACAAUCUCGCAGCGGAGGCGCGCAACAUGUUGAUCCCGUGGCGGACCACGAGUGCACGGUAGCAGCAGGCCGCAACAGCUCCACGGCGAUCGAGCGCAUCCUGCAUUGAUGCUAGGGACGUCGUAUGCACGCGCGUUGCCGGUCACCAAAAAGGCGACGUUGGGCGGAAGCAAGGAGUGGCGGAGAGGAGAUGGGGAGAGGACGGUCAGGGGCGCCGCGCCCGUAGGUGAGGUGAGGUGAGGUGAGAGCCCGGCUGUGGAGCUCUUUACGAGUGACAUAUUGAUCUUUGAAUUUGGCAUAAUUUUUUAUGAGCACCCAACAAUGCGUGAGGAUGAGUGGCUUGUUCUUAUGUCGUGCCUUGAAAUCUUCAAAAGAUUAAAAUGCCUACACAACAUGAAUGGACACAAAAUGCCUACACAAUAAAAAGCAUGCCAACAUGAAUGGACACAAAAUNNNNNNNNNNNNNNNNNNNNNNNNNNNNNNNNNNNNNNNNNNNNNNNNNNNNNNNNNNNNNNNNNNNNNNNNNNNNNNNNNNNNNNNNNNNNNNNNNNNNNNNNNNNNNUGAAUGGACACAAAAUAAAAAUGUGAGAGGUACAUACCAAGUCACCAACGCCUAGGCCACUCAUGGGACCGGCUUGGACGCUCUCAAGCGCGGCACAAUACUUGUUGCAUCCUUGUUGAAUGAAUCCCCAUCACUUUUGGAUUAAGUUGAUGUUGCGAGUACUCACAAUUUGGUAGGGACAAACUUCCUUCGCUCAUGGAAGGUACCCCUUGUCCAAAAGAUGGAUGCCUUUUGCUCGGCACCUUUUAUUGGAUCUUCCCCUAUCUCAAUCCAACUCUCGCAAAUCAAUUUAUCCUUAUUUUGGGUGUAUGACCCCACGCAAAUGAUUUGCCUCCUCUUUUGUGCCUCGGCCAUUUGAGUGAGCUCAUCGAUAAACACCAAUGCCUCUUGCAAAAUGUGGACCUUGUCUUCCUCAUUUUCACAAUAUAACUCAUCAUCAAUAUGCCAUGAGUUGACAUGGUUGUCCUUCUCUUCAUCAUGGCCGACGAAUUUAGUGUCCUCAUAGUGGUCGCGGUCGUCCUGGCUCUACCUCUCGUUGGGACCGACAGCCUGGCCUUGACCCUCGUAGUGAAAGGCCUAACCACGGCCCUCGUAGAUGACGCUCUCNNNNNNNNNNNNNNNNNNNNNNNNNNNNNNNNNNNNNNNNNNNNNNNNNNNNNNNNNNNNNNNNNNNNNNNNNNNNNNNNNNNNNNNNNNNNNNNNNNNNNNNNNNNNNNNNNNNNNNNNNNNNNNNNNCGAGCAAUCACGAUAGUCGGUUGUGGGCGUCGGAAGUGGUAUUGUGUCGAACAACUUACGGGCGUCGGAUAUGGUUGCCAUCGGGAAUGACCGGGGCUGCUUACUGUGUGUCCCGCCAGUCGUCUGGCCAGCGCCACUUUACAUCUGUACCUCGGCAUCAUGUUUUAGGUCGAUGACCCCCGCGGACGUGGCGGGAGCAACCACGUUGUACUCCGGCGGCGUGGAGAACCAUGUCUGCCCAUGGCUGUCCGAAGGACGGCACCCUGGCGUCUCGGGUGUGGUGGAUCUGUACUGAGGAGGACGAGCGGCCGACGGUCCCAUGCUCGCCGUGGCCAUGGCAGCGAUCGAGAGGAUGACUGACUGUAGUCCUCCCAACCCUAACAUGAGGAGGGUGUGCCCGUUGGAGAUGAUGGAUUCCUUGUUGUCAAUGUCGGCAAGAUGUUGCGCUUGACGCGGGGCGGCGGCCUCGACGACGUAGGCCGCAACCGCCAUCAUCUCUCCCACCUUUAAAUGCCAGUCCCUCCUCUUCGCCAAGUCGGCAUUGAGUUUGGCGAUGAUCGCCAACGUGAGCUCGGAGCGAGGCUUCCUGGGACCCUUGGGACCCUUUUCUUCGCCGUGAGGGGCGCGGCUGCUACCGCAUCGCCAGGGUUUAUUGCGUCGCCGUCCAUGAAGGAGGGAGGGGAAGGGACGCGCGAGAGAGUUUGAGCGAUAUGGAGAGAGAGUGGGAGGGGUGUGUCCCGGAUUGGCGUGCCAAAGGAGGACAAUGGCGCGCAUCAUGCCCGUCGGCGCGCUGUCUGUUUGACUGCAAACGCAACCCAAACUUGAACUCGAAAUGGGUUGAAAACUCCCGUGCGUUGGGCCGUGGUUUAUGCCUGUUUACAUCUAAACGAAUGCAGGCGGACGAGUUAACGUCGUGCCUUGUGGUUGCCUUAGAGCAACUCCAACCGGCCGACCCAAACGGACAGCGAUUUUGUUCGCUUUUCGUCCGUUUGGGUCAUCCAUCGGCUCCGUGUUCACCCGGGUUACGAUUUGAUUUGAGUCGGUAGCGUGUCCAAUGCGCCAACCCAUAUUUGUCCGUCUGGCCGGCUAGCGCCGGUUUUUGAACAAAUACGGAUAUUUUAUAUAUUUUGCAACAGCAAAUGAUAUAGCAUAGUUUCACAAUCAAAAAUAAAAUAUAGAAAAGUUUUUCAAACCCAAUAAAAGUUUAGAUUGUCUACAAAAUACAGCUAGUCAUUGCCAACAUCAUACCACAUAUGCUCAACCAAAUUAUCUUGCAACUGAAUAUGAGUUUCCAAAUUACGCAUUGCGUGAGGAAAUGGGAUGAACUGUGCAAACGAUGUCGCUUCUCCGCCAUGCUGAGGCACCACAAUGGGCGGCGGCGACGGCGAGGGGACUAGGACCGAGGCGAGGCGAGGGCUAGAUGCGGGUGGAAAACGACCAAUGUGCCACCGACUCGCGGGCCAGGGAAUGGUCGUAGUGUGCGUCGUCCGUGUCUGCUUUGUGUCCGCACCGAUUCAAAUCAGGCUCAAAAUUGGGUCGAAAAUGGAUCGGCAAGCGGAAAAAUGUGAACACGCGUCCGUUUAUGUCAGGGCGUUAGACCGUCUUUUAUAUCCGUGUGUAUCUAAAUGUACGGCGACGCAGGAAAUGUGUCGCUCUGUUGGAGUUGCUGUUAAAGAAAAACGGAGUAGGAGUGCAAUGACUUUCUUUUCUGAGCGAAGACAAGAUGUGUGAUAGUACAGUAAUGCUAGGCCUACGUAGCUAUAAUACAUAGACUAACCUAAUAGUUUAGGUGGCGUUUUUUAAUUUGAGAAAAUUAGGGAAGGGGCCCACCCAGUUGAAAUCAGGGCUGAAAGGAUUAGUAGUUAGUUAAGUUACGUAGUCUUAUGUAAAUUUUUAUGUAAGCGUAGCAUUUUUGCACGUGAAGCAGAGAGUUGUACAAAUGUUACUAGUAGCAGUUGUUUAUUCAAAAAUGCUAGACUUACGAAUUGUUUUACGUAAAGUUACGAACCUCUGGCAAGAUAAUAAGAUAAUACUCCUGAAGAUAAUACACGGCUACAUAAAUUAUUACUGCACAUCAUCAUCAGAUAAGUGCAUGAAGAAGAAGGAAGAAAACAAAAGAAAAAGUACAUGAAGGAGGAGAAGCGCACUACAUCAUUCGGCACUGCCCCUGUCACAGUGUCACUGAACACUAUACAGUCUAUCAUCAUUCAUUCACACAUUCAUCAGACACGUACGGCCGUCGAUCAGUUUAUUGCGCCCGCCCUAGCUAAUCACGGCGUCUAAUUAGUGGAAGGAGGUGUUCUUGAGGUGCUCCGGCGCGUCCUGGAAGGAGUGCUUUCUGGCCAGGGAGAGGAUGGUCUUGUCGGCGACGAUGAAGUAGGCCAUCCCCGCGACGGUGGAGAUGAUGAGCGCCUGCCCGGUCGGGUUCAGGUAUGCCUUGGCCCACGGCAGCAUCCUCACGCUCGCCAGCUGAAAUCAUGGAUAGCAGAUUCAUGAGACAUGCGAUCAACUAUGGAGCGCGCGAUCUCCUCCAACAACCAAAUGGCUAGCUUUCUGGAUACUUACUGUGGGCACUGCGGCUGCGACGGUGGCGACGGCCGCGGCCUUGGCUCCGGCCAUGGCAGCCUCUGCAGCACACACAUGUAACAUGUUAAUCGCAAUCAAGUUCCGACAGACACAGACAGCACAUAAAUAAGCCGCAAUGCAUAACGGAACCGGCCGUCGCUCGUUGGUUACCUACCUCUGGAGCAGCGCUUAGCUGCGGCGAGCCUCUGGUCGAGGUAGGCGCGGGUGACCGUCGACAUCUUCCUUCGCCGGGAGCAGAGCUUGGUUGUACGAGAUCGGAAGGAAGUGAACGAGCAGUAGCAGCAAAGCCAAGUGCAGUAGCUAAAAAGAUGAGUAAGUAGUAGUAGCAGUAGGUGGAGUGAGGUGCGGUGGGGAGAGCAAGGUGCUCCGGCGAGAUUUAUACGUAGUUCGCAUGAAACCGCGAAACCGGCGUGCCGGGAGGAAGACGGACUUGAUACGGUGGGAAUCAAGACCACGGUUUUGAGACGAGCGAGCGGUGGUACCGGCGGGAGGGCGCCUCGCUGCAGCAGAGCACAGCACAGGUGGCCGCGCCUCGUUCGUCGGUCGUAUAAAAAUGGGAGCACUCCACUACACUUUGCACUGGAUAAGAGGAGGCAUCGAUGGGGGGUUGGCACGGCGCUAGCGCGCGUAGGAUAACACGUAGGAGCAUGUGCGUGAACGCAGUGUCACUCAGCGUGCACUCCGUUUCGCUUCAGAUCUGUGUGUGUGCGGCGCGCUGCCAGUUUUCGGCCAACCCGUCGGCAAUCAGGCAAUUCCGCCGGCGGUUUGCUGAUUUGGAUCGUCUGUUUUUAUCGUCGGUUUGCUUUGGCACGCGCAUUUUAUCAGUUUUUCGUUAGUUUGGAUUGUUUAUUACGUGGAUUUUUUUUUUGCGACGAUUGUUUACGUGGAUUUGCGCGUCCGUAUUUUUACAUGGGUCGGCUUAAGCGUCCAAGGAAAGACUGAUCCAAAUUUAUUCGCGUAGAAAAAAAAUAACACGUCGAAGAAAAAACACGCGGUGGUGGAGGAGGCGGGAUGAAGAGCAGGGCAUGGACGGAGUCCCCUACCGCCGAACAAGCCGCUCCAUCCCAUCCCAUUGGGCCUCCUCGAUCUUGCUCGCCUCCAGUGCCUCAUGCACGACUCGCUCGAGGGCAGCUUGGUACGCCUCCUCUUCGUCCUCCUCGUGCAGCAGAACCUCAGGCAGCGGCGGAGGAACAUCGUAGUCAACGUGCACGACCCGGCGUCGCUCCUUCUCGUGCUCUAGCGCCAACCAACGCUCCCAGUUGGGGGAGUCUGGCGAGUAGGCACGCAUCUGCCGCUGCUCCAGAGUGAGGGUCUCACGACGCCGGAGAACCUCCUCGGCCUGCGCCCACGUCGAGCGUGGCACUGCUGGAAUAGGGACCCGUUGCGGAUGCAGAUACCAGUCGUGAGGCAGGUUGACAUCCGGAUACUGCACUGGCCGGUGGUACUGUCAGGGAGGAGCACUGCAUGGCCAGAUGUGGACGGGGGUUGUAAGUGGAUGAGGCCGUCCUCACCGCAUGCUUUCAUAAAAAAGGAAGGGCACAUGGACCGCCCACACACUACCAAGAGGGCCCCUAGGUAGGUGACGGCAUUUAAUAAGACAUGGCUGGUGGUUGGGCGGUGCACAAGUGGGACCGCGGCGGACAUAGACCGGCCGCGCGGCACGCCCGCAUCGCGUCUGCGUCGAUGCAUUUCAGACGCAAUUUUGGGUCGGAAAUAGGUCCGUGCGGACGCAAUGCGUACGGAUUUUGGGAAUGGGUCGCCGCGUUGGGCCGGCGCUUUUGUCUCUGCGACUCUAACGAACGUGGACGGACAAAAUGGGUCGCCUCGUUGGAGUUGCUCUUAUAUAUCCAAAUGGAUAUAUAUUAUCAUGAUUUAUUAUUGUUAACAUUAUCUUUAAGGUAAAAUAAGUUAAGUGGCAAAUUAUUUAAGCCCCAAUCUUCCUACAUGUCCUAUAUAAACAUGAGCUUCGAAAAUAUGUCUUGAGCGUGAGCAAUCAUAGAAGAUUAAAUGAUAGUUGAGUAUAUGAACGUGUAAAAAAACUCUUACAUAGACUUUUCUCUGAAAUAUAAUGAAUUAUGAUUGUCUCAAUGACUGAGAACAUUGUUUGUUGAUUGUCAAUAAAGUUUAUUCUUCUUACUCCAAUAUCUAUGAAUGGAUUAUUACUUGUUUAUGAGGAGCUAUAUAAUAAAAUACUUACUACUAUGUUAAUAUUCCUCAUGCUCUCAUGUUCGUAUUAUAUUUUUAUCAACACCUCUCUCUUAAAUCUUGUGGUAAUUAUUUUCAAGUUUGGAUUUUGCUUGAGGACAAGCAAGGUCUAAGCUUGCAAAAGUUGAUAAGUCCAUUUUGCAUCAUUAAUUAUUAUUAAUAUUUGUAUUAUUCUUGUCCAUUAUUUCUUAUUAUCACAUCAUUCUUAUGUCAUUUCUCUUUGAAUAUGUAAGGUAUAUCAUAAAGAGGGAAAUAUCUGGACAUUGAAAUUCUGAACCGGGAAACCGGAAAAAGGCAAAAAAAUCAAGAUGCUCCAAAUGGUGUGAAACUUGACGAAGAAUUUUUCCUUAAUAUUUAAAAAUUACUGGGUCAAAAAUAUGCCACAAGGGAGCCACCUAUUGGCGCCAAGGCAACAGGGCGCGACCACGCCCUUGUUGGCCCUUCUGAUGUCCCUCUCCUCUUAUAUGGCGUGUUUUGACCUAGAAAAAAUGAUAAGUAACCUUUCGGGGUAAAGCGCCGUCGUCUCGAGGCGGAAACCUGGGCAGAGGCCCUUUUUCUCUUCGACAGAGAGAUUCUGCCGAGCAAACUUUCCUCCAGGAGGGGAAAAUGAAAGUUAUCAUCAUCACCAAUGUUUCCUCCUUCGUGGAAGGACCGAUCUUCAUCAACAUCUUCACCAUCAUCAUAUCGUCUCCAAACCUAGUUCAUCUCUUGUAUUCAAUCUUUGUCUCGGGACCUCAGAUUGGUACAUGUGGGUUAUUAGCUGUGUUGAUUACAUCUUAUAGUUGAUGCUUAUUGGAUUACUUGGUGGAAGACAUUAUGAUCAAAUCCUUAAUUAUUAUUAUUACACCUCUCAUCUUGAAUAUGUUGAUGAGGUGCGAGUAGUAACUAUUGUUCCCGGGGACAUUGGAGAAGUCUUGUUAUAAAUAAUCAUAUAAUGUUGGUAUUCGCUCGAUAUUUUGAUGAUAUGUAUGUUGUUAUUUCUUUUAGUGGUGUCAUGUGAACGUCAACUACAUGACACUUCACCAUGUUAUGGGUCCAAGGAAAGUCAUUAUGGAGUAACAAGUAGAUGAUGGAUUGCGAGACUGGCAGAAGCUUAAACCCCAGUUUAUGCAUUGCUUCAUGAGGGGCUGAUUUGGAUCCACACAUUUAAUGCUAUGGUUCGAUUUAUCUUAAUUCUUCUUUUGUAGCUGCGGAUGUUUGCGAGAGAGGGUAAUGAUAAGUUGGUUUCUUGUUCAAGUAAGAACAACACCUUAACACCGGUCUAUCCACAUAUAAAAUUAUCAAAGUAGUGAACGCGAAUCAACUCAAUAUGAUGAAUAUGACUAGACGGAAAUUCUCAUGUGUUCACGGAAGCAGUUGCUUCAUAUAAAAGUACUUUCAGGCCUGUCAUUUGCUACAAAAAGGAUUGAGCUAUCUUGUUGCACAUUUGCUACUAUUGUUACUUGUCACUUAUUAUGAAUUAUCUUGCUACAAGACUAUCUAUCACUGUUACUUAUAGCACUUGCAGAUAAUACCUUGCUGAAAAUCGCUUAUUAUUUCCUUCUGCUCCUCGUUGGUUUCGACACUCUUAUUUAUAGAAAGAACUAUGAUUGAUCCCCUAAACUUGUGGGUCAUCAGCCCUCCAUGUCCAGGCAAGACCCAUGUGACCUUGCUGCCGCACGCGCCACGUCGUCGCUCGACACUACCAGUCGGCACCAACGCCACCGAGCGGGAGGAGAGGAGGCCCCGUCGCUGCCCGGCACUACCAGUCAACACUAACGCCGUCGAGUGUGGGGAGAGGAGCCCCUUCGCCAUCGACGCCAGUCGGGCUUUGCCCCAUGGCAGCAAGGAGAAGAGAGGGUGCGGCCUCCGCUGGCGGCUAGGUCCCCUCCCCUCUCUCUCAGUGUCCAAUUCACUCCAAAUCACAUGAGUUCAUUCAUCAAUUUUUCUUUGAAAGUUUUGCUGCCUCAUACAUGUGGACUGUGAUCAACACAACAAUUCAGGCUUGCACUUUGUUUUACUUAAUAUUUUCACUGUGCAGCUAACAUCGUAACUCUUAGUGCUAACAUCAAUUUUGUAGGAAGCAAAUUCCUUAUGGUAUAGGAAAGGUUCUACUACUCCCUACUAAAGUUGCGACCAUUAACUUGGAUCGGAUGGAGUAACUUUCUUUCACUAUCAGUUGGAUUGGAUCUUUUUAAACAUUCUUGCUGCAUUAGAUAAAAAGCAAUUAAUUUUUUCUGUUAGCAUGUAUUCAUAAAAAUAAUAAAUAAUGUAGAGUUUGGUAUCACUUUUGUUCAACAAGCCUUUUGCCAUUUCACUAUUUGACUAACCAAAAUUUCAAAUUGUAGGGACUAGUUUGCCAACGUAUUAUAGAAAAAGUUCAACGCGCAUAGUUUUAUAGCCAUAAAUCAAACCUUGUCCUAAAAAUUUCAACAUACGUUUUAGACGCGUUUGUCUUUUAUAAAGGCAUCUCACAAUACACUUGGGCACGUGUAUACGAUACAAGGAUAGAAUAUUUUAUUAAUGCUCGUCAUGAAUGAAAUGUCAAGUAUGUCCCUAUUUCUAGUGACAAACGCCUCAAAUUAAUCCACAGGACAGUAACUCCAGUAGUAUAGGCUAUAGGAAUGUGAACCUAAUAUGGCUAAACUUUUCUUUCAGAUUUGUCUUUUUGUCACAUUUUUUGUUAAACGUGCCGCAUUUUUUUUAAUGUUUACAUGUCACACCCUCUCAAGUAUAAACCUUGGCCGUGGCUACCGAGCGCAGCAAUGUCCGCUCACGGUGGUAGCGGACGCACCCGAGAACAAUCAACCACGUGUACUUAUUAGCGUUUAAAAAAAUUCAAAAAAUCGUAACUUUUGAACCGAGCAUCAAAAUGACGAUACGUUUUCACGGUCGUGUUUCUUAUGACGAGCUCUUCAAAAUUAGAUUCCAUAUGGAUAGAUUUCUACGAACUUUUUUUGAGCAAAUUUAUGUGCUAGAUGAGGCAAUUUUAGUGCUAUAGGCAAGCAACUCCUUUCCCCCCUUAGUAUGACUAUCUACCAGCGAAGAAUUCUUCUAAGUUGGUUACCACUGAGUAACAAUUGACUAGUUGCCUAUGAUUGAUGUUCACUUGCCUACAAAUGCUGUGGAAUUGUUCGAUUUUGAUGCUCAGUUGCCUNNNNNNNNNNNNNNNNNNNNNNNNNNNNNNNNNNNNNNNNNNNNNNNNNNNNNNNNNNNNNNNNNNNNNNNNNNNNNNNNNNNNNNNNNNNNNNNNNNNNNNNNNNNNNNNNNNNNNNNNNNNNNNNNNNNNNNNNNNNNNNNNNNNNNNNNNNNNNNNNNNNNNNNNNNNNNNNNNNNNNNNNNNNNNNNNNNNNNNNNNNNNNNNNNNNNNNNNNNNNNNNNNNNAUUAUGAUGCUCAGUUUCCUAUUACUGAUGGUCAAUUGCCUAUGGUUGAUGUUCAGUUGCGUGGCAUUAAUGCUCAGUUGCCUUCUAUUUAUGAAUAGUUGUCAUAAUUGCACUCUAGUAUCACAAAAAAGUUAGCAACUUUUAGUGUGUUUUUUGCGCAACUCCAGUGCAUUUCAACAAGCAACUCAUGUGUAUACACACAAUGCAAUUCAUACAUCAUCAAAGUUGUUUCUGUUUAGUACCAAAGUUGCCUCAUACAGCAUCGAAGUUGCUUUUGAAAAAAAUCUUCAAAUCAUAUUCAUAUGAGAUCUCGUUUUGAAGAGUUCGUCACGAGGAACCCAACGAUGAAAACAUAUCAUAAUUUCCACACACGGUUUGAUAGUUAUAUCUUUUUGAAUUUUUUUCGUACAGGAAUAAAUGGACAUCCAACGCAUGCGGAGCCGAGCAUGCACAUCCGACCCAUAAUUUAGCCUUUUCAGUUUGGAAAUUUCAGACUUCAUUUGUCAUGUGGUUGCUAAAGGGUGAAGUUAUUUAACCUUCUAGUCAUGAUAGAUAAUUUAAAAAAUAAUGUUGAUAGGCGAUCAUAUUACGCGCAUUAAUAAAAAUUAUUUCUCUUUAACACUAAAAUUGCCUAAACAUUACUCCACGGUUGCUUAAAAAAAGUUUAUCAAAAUAUAUCCAUAUGGGAUCCAGUUUUAAAGAGCUCGUUGUAACAAACACAACCGUGAAAACAGAUCAUUGUUAUGAGGCUCGGUUUAAAGUUAUAGUAUUUAAAAACAAAACAGAAUAAACUGGAAUGACUUGCUGCAUAUAGGAUGUGAUCGUUUCAACCAAAUAGUGCAGCUGUAUUUUUAUUAUUUAAGAUAAACCUUGUGCUAAAAAACUAUGACGAGUGAGGUGGCACGGUCGGGAUAUGCGGCGCAGAACAUGGGAGGGGCGGGGGGGUCAAAGAAUUCAGUGCUCGUUACGUCUUUUUACAUGCUCUGGCACAUGUAUAAGAUGGGUGAUGGCUGGCUGGAUAAGGGAGAAGCAGAGUUGAACAGAUGCAAGUCAUUAUUAAUUCAAGAUUACUGGCUGAAUACAUUAUGAUUACUUCAUCAGACAAGUGCCUGCACGGACAGAGGCGCAAGGCCUGAUCUGCAUCGCCUCGCUGAACAUUAUACUCGUACUACGUGAGUAUCUUUCAGCAAAAACGUACAUACAGCCCAAUAAUUAGUGGAAUGAGGUGUUCUUGAGGUGCUCCGGCGCGUCCUGGAAGGAAUGCUUCCUGGCCAUGGAGAGGAUGGUCUUGUCGGCGACGAUGAAGUAGGCCAUCCCGGCGACGGUGGAGAUGAUGAGCGCCUGACCGGCGGGGUUCAGGUGCGCCUUGGCCCACGGAAGCAUCCUCACACUCGCCAGCUGCAGAAAAAGGCACGGAAGAAGAAGACGGUGAGAUGAUUAUUCGUUCGACGUCAAAAACUCAGUGGUGCAGGCUGAUAAACGUGUGCUUACGGUGGGCACUGCGGCGGCGACGGUGGCGACGGCCGCGGCCUUGGCUCCGGCCAUGGCAGCCUCUGCAGUUACCAAUCAACACAGGCGUGUUAGUUUGGGUCUAGUUCCAGGCUUUCAGUAGACAGGACUGCACAUAACUGCAAUGCACUCCUAGAAUAGAACGGCGAGAGCAUUGCCGGCACAGUGAACCGGCGGGGCAUCAUAUCGUUUUGGUUACCUCUGGAGCAGCGCUUGGCUGCGGCGAGCCUCUGGUCGAGGUAGGCGCCGGUCACCGUAGACAUCUUNNNNNNNNNNNNNNNNNNNNNNNNNNNNNNNNNNNNNNNNNNNNNNNNNNNNNNNNNNNNNNNNNNNNNNNNNNNNNNNNNNNNNNNNNNNNNNNNNNNNNNNNNNNNNNNUCACCGUAGACAUCUUCGCCGGAGCAAAGCUUGGUGGCAGGAGACCCGAAGGAAGUGAACUACUCGUGACUUCUUAGGCCCUGUUUUGUUACAAAUAAGUCACCAACUUAUAAGUUAAAAAUGCAAAAAAUGACUUAUUUUGCCAAAAGGGCCUAACUUAUAAGUCAUAAGUUGCGAUACCCUAGCUUAAAACUUAUAAGUCACUUACUUUUUGAUGGGUCCCACCACCUUUUCAGCCGUGCCCACCGCCCACCCGUGCCCACCGCCCCAUCCGCUCCCCACCGCGUAGCGCGCCUCGCCGCCGCUCCCACCGCGCAGCGCGCCUUGCCGCCGCCGAGCUCCAUCCCCACCCACUGCGCAGCGCGCCUCGCCCAUCCCUCCCCACCGCGCACCGCUGCUGCCCUCGCCGCCGCUGAGCUCCAACGCGAGCUCGCUCGGCUCGCCCAGGCCAGAAGCGCGGUNUUAUAAGUCAGGUGACAACCAAACAAGGAUGACUUAUAAGUCACUGGUUUUAAGUCACCUGACUUAUAAGUCACCUGACUUAUUGGAACCAAACAGGGUCUUAGUAACAGUGAAGUGUGUGAGGCAAGAAGAUGAGUGGUGGUGUGUGAGAUGAGAUGGGGCAGAGCUCGGUGCUCCGGCCGGAUUUAUAGGCCGCAGGAAACCGCGAAACCGGCGUGCGGAGAGGAAAGCGAGCUGAUACGAUACGAUGGGAAGCGAGACCGUGGUUUCGAGCCGAGCGGGUGGCCGGUGGCCGGCGCUGCUCUGCGGCAGAGCGCAUGUGGCGCCGCCUCCUUUAACCUGGUCCGCAUAUAAAAAACCACCCCACGCGCCUCGUCACUGAUUCUUUUUGGUGGGCACUGCGCUGCGCUGCAAGUGGAUAAAGAUAAGGAAUCAAUCGAUCGGGGUUGGCGUGUAGGUGCUGCAUCAUAUAUAGGAGCAGGAGUAUGUGAGUGAGUGUGCCCUUGGCGCUCCCUGUUUUCGGCCAAUAAUCCUACACCUAUGUAAUUUGGUUACAUAAUCUUACUUAACCUUCGUAAUCUAAAUCUUCACCGUCCCUGAUUUUCGUGGGGUGAGGCCUGGGCUGUUUUUUCAUCCAAUCUAAUCAUGACAAAUCAACUACCACGCGUAACUUUACCUAGAAUCUCUAGGUAGGUGUAGCAAAGCCCGUUUUCGGCCAACCCGUCCGCAAUCCAAUUCCGCCAGCGGUUCCCUGCAAAUCCUUUGUUGAUCGCAUGCUCGGAAAUACCUCGUCCGAUUAGCCAGUAGAUGGAACUCUUGAUUUCGGUUAUUAUUUGUAGUAUAUAGUAUGAUAUAUGUUAGCAAGUAUAUGAACAAGUUCAAUGUUAAAUUGAUGAUUUUGAAUUUUAAGAUUUUGUAGAUUUAGAUGUAUAAUGAUUAUUAAUUUUAUCUCUUGUCUUUAUUUUAUAUGCCUACAGUAGAAUAUUUUGAUAUAUUACAUAGCUAUAGGUGCAUGAAGUAUGGUAUAAUAAAUAAAAAGUAUAGAUAUAAAUUGGCAAAUUUCUAUUUAAUCUACUGACAAUGGUCGACCGAUUAAUUCAGUUUAUAGGCUCAUUCACUGAUUAAUCGUUACUCUCAAGCAGACCGAGAAGCUACUAGUUACCGAUUUCUUGAACAUUGAAAAUACAUAACGUUGAUCACCUAUCCAAAUAACGUAAAGGUUUUCACUAGCCAGUCCUGUCAUCGCUUGCAGUCGCACCACCACCCUAGAUCUUCCAUCGUCGCAAAUCUCAACCCUGACCAAGGUUUUGGCUACCGAAUACCAAGGAAAUGUCAAGAAGGGGCCGAGAAAUGCGGCUACCAAAAAAUACCAAGUGGAUGCCAUCCAAAACUUCCAAGUGUGUUUCAAAUUAAGAAAAAUUGAGCUAGGUACGUACAACUAUGUGCCAUGCUCAAUUUAGUCAGGAAUUUGCUAGCAUCACAAUGGUUGUCUUCACGCAUGUCAAGGACUGAGGUGUUCAGUGUUCGGUCACUGACCAGUAAAGAAAUAGCAACCUAGCCAGCUCUGUGAAGUUGGUCCUAUAAGUCUGGAUUGACCGACACCUCUUACAUAUAAACCUUAUCCAAGACAGAUAUUGGGCGGCCCAAAUGCAUUGGAUCUGAGAGACGGGACCUACCACAAAUUUCAUCAAAUCUUCCAAACCUGGCCAUACAUGUCUUUUUCCUCUCCUCUCUUCUCCCUCGUUCGCGAUGGCCCUUCCCUAGCUUUUCAGCCACCCUAGAUUCGAUGUCGUCUUGACCCCAUAGCGCGAGUAUCACCACCACAAAACUCCUCCUGCCAUGGUACAUACCACUCUUCCCGUCGUACACCUUGCCCUCCAUGUGUUUGAUAAUGUCAAUGCAAUUAUUUUGGAUUCUUUUGUGGAAAAACAAUGGAUUCGGUCUUGUCACAUGAGUAGUAUAAAGGCUAGGAGCUUGAUGUAUUCAUUCACAAGUUCAUGAAUUCAUCAAAAUCAGAUGACGAAGAUGCUACAUUAAUGAUUGUGAUGAUUAGCUUCGAGAAAAUGGAGAUAAAAGCGUAGUAUAUUCUGAACUUCAAAAGUUCAAUCAAAGGGAAGAUAGACCUAAACUAGGAUAAAGCCGCUGGCUCACGACGGCCGCUCUACAAGUACUACAUCCUAACCGGAUCAACAUUUCCUGAAAUAUGCGUCAACACUUUCGUAUGUGCAAACACUUGUUCUAGUGCGCGGUUAAUGGAGUGAAGGCACAUGAUCCAUUCUCUCUUUUGUUGAAAUGCACAACUGCUCUAAGGAUUAUCAUCUAUUUUCUUUAAAGACUUUCUUUAUUUGCCACGCCAUGUAUUAAACUUUAUGAAAAUACUACCUCCAUCCCAAAAUAAAUGUUACAAAUUUAAAAUAACUUUAUACUAAAGCUAGUACUACCUUCCCAAGUAUAUAGGACAUGCGCGUAGUUCUAGCUUGUUAAUUUAACUACUCCCCCGUUCUUAAAUAUAAGUCUUUUAAGCGAUUUCACUAAGGGUCUACAUACAGAGCAAAAUGAUUGAAUCUAUACUCUAAAGUAUGUCUAUAUACAUCCAUAUAUAUGUAGUCCACUAGUGAAAUCUCUAGAAAGACUUAUAUUUAGGAACGGAUGGAGUAGCUAAUAUGUAUUAUAUGCGAUAAAAAUUACAUAUUCAGAGACUACAUCCCCAUAUGAAUCUAAUGAUAUAUUAUUUAUUACAUAUAAUACAUAAUUAAGUAGUUAAAUUAACGACCUAGAACUACAUGCAUGUCCUAUACACUUAGACGAAUGUAGUAUAAAGUUGAGACACCUAUUUUAAGAUAGAGGAAAUAUUUAAGAAGUGGUGAUCCCGAUGUGCAUCACAAACAUGAGAGGAAUAGCGGGUCAAAGAGUUCCGUGGGUAUUUCUGUCUUCUGCAUGCUCUACCACUGCCACACAUGUCAAAUGAUAACAACAAACGAGUAAAUGGAAGAUGGGGUGAUGGCCGGUGAACCUGAGCUGUACAAAUGCAAGUUAUUAUUAAUUCAAGAUUACUGGGUGGAUACAUGAUGAUUGCUUUGCUUCAUCAGAUAGAAAGUGUUUUGCACACAGAGAAGAGAAGCGCAGUACACCACUCACUGUCUGCAGCCCUCGCAUGGUGACCGCCUCCUUCACUGAACUUUACGCUUUCUUUCAGUAGAGGCGUACAGUUUAUUGGCAGAGAAGCGCAGUUUAUUGCAGGUCUAACUAAUGGAAGGAGUGUUGGCUUUUGAACGUGCGUAUGCAGCUGUACAGGCGUGCCUACGCGAUUCUUGCUUCGGCCGGCUAUUUGACGGAACUUGCGUAACUAGCGACACGAAUAAAACUGAUCGAUGGAUUUGAUGGCUAAAGGCCCGUGUCGAGCCUUUGCUUUGUAUUGCUUUUCGUUUUUCUGGUGUUACAAUCAACACCCCUAGGGUGUCUUUUAUACACGUCCACAAGGGACUAUGGAAAUAGACUAGGACUAGGAAUCCUAAUACUACUAGGACUCGGUUUGGCUUUCUUUCCUAAUCCUACAUGAGCAACAUGAUUAACAUCUACAUUCACCUCCUUAAUCUUGUUGCUUGACUUCACUUCUUGCACUCCGACUUUCCUCCUCAUCUCGAUGAACUUCUGUCGACCGAGGGACUUGGUGAAAAUAUCGGCAAGUUGGUCUUUCGUGUUCACAUGUUGAACCUCGAUCAACCCUUCUUCAAUGCACUCCCGGAUAUGGUGGAACCGGGUAUCUAUGUGCUUGCUCCUUUCGUGAUGAACCAGAUUUUUGCACAACGAGAUUGCAGCUUGGUUAUCGAUCUUCAGUGACACCUUCUACACCUCCCGCUUUGCAAGAAUAGCUAGGAGUCUUCUCAGCCACACUGCUUGACAAGCCGCCGUGCUUGCCGCUAUGUAUUCUGCCUCGCAUGAAGACAGUGCCACCACCUUUUGCUUCUGAGAAUUCCAGCUAAUCGGAUUCGGGCCAAGGUAGAAAACCAUGCCCGUUGUGCUCUUUCGGUCAUCAACAUCACCUGCCAUGUCGCUAUCUGAAUAUCCACGAAGGAUCAAUCCUUCCUUUCCCUUUCUGUACGUGCAACCAAGAUUAAUGGUGCCUUUCACAUAGCGCAAGAUUUGAUUGACCGCGCUCAUGUGCUCGGUUGUCGGAUUCUCCAUGAAACAACUCACGAUCCCGACUGAAUAAGCCAAGUCAGGUCGGGUAUGCACCAAAUAUCUUAGGCUGCCCACAACGCUUCGAUACAUUGUGGUGUCCACCGGCGGAUUUGAGCUACGCUUGCUCAACUUGUGACGUUGGUCCAUUGAAACUUGUGUCGCGUAGCAAUCUGACAUGCCACACUUGUCCAAUAACUUGACCGCGUAAGCCGAUUGACAUAGGGAAAUCUCUCCGGAGCUUUGCUUCACUUCGAUGCCCAAGUAAUAGCUGAGUAAUCCCAGAUCACUCAUGCUAAACUUGUUCUUCAUUUGCGCCUUGAAACGUUCAAUUUCUUUUACGCUAUCUCCGGUGAUAAUCAGAUCGUCGACAUAAACUCCAACUAGCAGGUUUGAGCCUUUGGAGUUCUUUGUAUAGACUGCGUGCUCGAGGGGACAUCUCUUGAACCCGAGCGAGACCAGACUUCGGUCUAACUUUGAGUUCCAAGCUCUUGGCGCUUGCUUCAACCCGUAAAGUGCCUUCUUGAGCUUGUAAACUUUCCCUUCUUCGCCUUUCUUCUCGUAGCCGAGGGGUUGUUCCACGUACACUUCUUCUGUGAGAUCACCGUUGAGGAAAGCGGAUUUAACAUCCAUAUGAUGAACCUUCCAAUCCUCUUGUGCUGCCAAAGCUAGGAGCACUCUCACCGUCUCGAUUCGAGCAACCGGUGCAAACACCUCAUCAUAGUCAACUCCUUGACGUUGUACGUAGCCCUUUGCAACGAGUCUUGCCUUGUACUUCACAAUGGCACCCUCCGUGUCCUUCUUUAACUUGUAAACCCACUUCAAACCUAUCGUCUUUUGGUUUGGAGGUCGGGUUACCAAAGUCCACGUGCCAUUGCUCUCAAUUGCCUUCAUCUCCUCAUCCAUGGCGUGCGUCCAGCUAGGACUUUUGCUCGCCUCUACGAAGUUCGCCGGCUCCUCAACUCCGAACAGACAUAGUCCGGAGUACUCAAGCGUAACUGGCUUUGUGUACUUGUAGACUUUCUUGAGGGUCUUGUAGCGACGAGGCCCUGAGGAGUCCGUUGUGGCUUGCGAAGGAGGCGACACAAAUUGUGUCGGUGUUGAUGCACUUGAGGAAGACGGCUGAGACCUUGGUGUGUCAUCGACAUCCGUGUCGUCGGCGUAGUCGUCGUGACCGUGACCAUCAUCUUGAUUGUCGUCGUCACUAUGCGCCUCGUUGUCGAUGUUCUCGUCGAGAUCUCCGCCUGUGUCGUGCGCGGCGUUGUCGUUAUCUCCUUGCGACCUAUGCGCGUCGUUGUCGGUGUCGGCACCAUGAUGAUCACUACCAUUGUGGUCACCUUGGUUGGGCGUCUUGCCAACCACCUGGACAUCCUCCCCUGCAUCAUCAUCAGUUGGAAAUUCAACUGCAAAUAUGUUACUGUUUGGAGCAUCGUCGGCUGCGGCGCUCCAAUUCCACGCUUGGUUUUCUUCAAACACGACGUCGCGUGAAAUCCGUAGACGCUUGGUUUGUGGAUCGUAGAAACGGUAUGCCUUGGUGCCAGAACUGCUCUCGUAUCCGAUGAACACCAUCUUGGUGCUACGAUCGGCAAGCUUUGAGAGAUGUGGCUCCGCCGUCUUCACAUGUGCCACGCACCCGAACGUCCGUAGAUGAGACACAUUCGACUUACGUCCGUAAAUUGCUUCAUACGGAGUCUUGCCGAUCACCGCCUUCGUUGGAGCCCGGUUGAGAAGAUAGACCGCCGUCGAGACAGCUUCUCCCCAAAAAGUCCCCGGCAGGUUCUUGCUGUUGAGUAAACUCCUUGCCAUGUCAACGACGGUUCGAUUGCGCCUUUCAACGACCCCAUUCUGCUGCGGCGUGUAAGGUGCCGUGAGGAACCUCUUUGUGCCAAUCUUCUCGCAGUAGUCGUUGAACUCAUUCGACGUAAACUCUCCGCCGCGAUCUGUCCGUAGAGCGCGAACCUUCAGCUUGUGUUCCAUCUCUGUUGCAGCCUUUAAUUUCUUGAACGCUUCAAACGCCUCAUCUUUAGAUCGUAGGAGAAUGACCCACAUAUAUCUCGAGUAGUCAUCUACCACAAGGAAGAAAUACUUCUUUCCAGCGUGAGUUGCCGGGGUGAUAGGGCCACAUAGAUCACCAUGGAGCAGCUCGAGUGCAUCACUUGCACGAUAGGUAGACUGAGCAGGGAAUGGCCUGCGGUGCUGUUUUCCAACCAAGCACCCGUCACAUACUCGAUCAACAUGGUCGAUAACUGGCAUCCCGGAUACCAUCUGCAUCUUUGACAUCUUCUUCAAGGCGUAGAAGUUAACGUGUCCAAAUCUAGCAUGCCAUAACCACGAAUCAUCAUCACUCUUGGCAAGCCAACACUCCGGUUGAGAUUGAUCAAGGUUGAGGAUAUAGAGCCUAUUCCGUGAGCGAUUAACACGAGCUAGCACGUUUCGGAGGUUGUCGAAGAUCGUCAUCACUCCGCUCUCUAUAUUCACCUUGCAUCCAUUCUCGUCAAGCUUCCCAAUAGAGAUGAUGUUGUUGCGCAGCCCUGGGAUGUAGUACACUCCGGUGAGUAUGCGAUGUUCGCCUGUGAGACCCUCAAAGAGGACAGAUCCUUGCCCGCAAAUCUCCACAGCUGAACCAUCACCGAACUUGACCGAGCCUUCAACAUCGUAUUCCAGCUCGAGGAAUUUCUCCUUGCACCCCGUCAUGUGGUUACUGGCACCCGUGUCGAGAUACCACGACACGUUCUGAUCACUGGAUAACUUUGGUGUCACUUUUUCCUCAUGAAGUAGCACCUUCCGGCUUGGUUUCACAACCACCGUUUCAGCGAGAUCACAAACUUCGGCCAUCAGAAGACCUGGACCUUCGUCUUCCUGCUUUGCCAAAUUUGCCUUGAUCUCCCGCUUGUUAGGCUUUGGACAAUCCUUCGCAAAGUGACCCAUCUUAUUGCAGUUAUAGCACUUGACCUCGGACAAGUCCAAGUUCCGUGGUUUCUGCUCUUUAGAUUGGCCCGCCUUACCACGACCUUGUGGUUUGCCUUUUCCUUUGCCUUUUCCGGUUUGUCCAUCGCCCUUCGUGUUGCUUGAGCCUUCGCCACCGUCACGCCUUCCUUUGCUACUUGGGGCCUCCCAAUCUGCGCGCGAGUACAUGAGUUGGUCACUACCUCCUCCUUUGCCUUUUCGACAGCCACGAGCAUUCUCUUCCCACGUCCGCAGGCGUCCGAUCGCCUCCGUUAUGGUCAUGUCGUCGAUGUCGUAAAGCUGCUCGAGCGUGCCGAUGAUGUACGUGAAUUUAUCAGUCACUGAACUGAAAAACUUCUCCACGAUCUCGGUCUCCUCGAGCUUUGAACCAAGCGCACGGAUCUCUCCCACCAGAGUAGUAAGACGCAUGGCAUAGUCGUUCACCGAUUCAGUUUCCUCCAUCUGCAACUUGUGAAAUUGGCGCUUCAGCACUUGUGCCCUUGCCUUGGUGACGCGAUCUUCUCCGAUCCUCAUCUCCUUGAGUGCGUUCCACGCCUCUCUUGCCAUCUCGAACUCCGCCAAUGUCAUCAGCACGGAAUCCGGCACAGACUGGGCUAUGGCGGCCAUGGCACCUUCGUCGGACUCGUCAUCGACGUCGUCGUCCGUGAUUGCCUGCCACACUCGAAGGGUUCGGAGAAUAAUCUUCAUCUUCACCGCCCACACGCCGUAGUUGGCGUCGGUGAGCAUCGGGUACUGGAUGGGGAUGUUGCGAUGCGCCUGGACGUUAGCGCCGCUCGUUCCUCCACCACUGGUUGCUGACUUGACGCCCUUCUUCACCUUGUCGCCGUUCUUGUUCGCCUUGGCACCGCCGCUGCCGGACUUGACCGACUCAGCGUCGCUGUCCGUCGUCGUAGAUCGUAGAUCGUCGACGCUCUGAUACCAAUUGUUGGCUUUUGAACGUGCGUAUGCAGCUGUACAGGCGUGCCUACGCGAUUCUUGCUUCGGCCGGCUACUUGACGGAACUUGCGUAACUAGCGACACGAAUAAAACUGAUCGAUGGAUUUGAUGGCUAAAGGCCCGUGUCGAGCCUUUGCUUUGUAUUGCUUUUCGUUUUUCUGGUGUUACAAUCAACACCCCUAGGGUGUCUUUUAUACACGUCCACAAGGGACUAUGGAAAUAGACUAGGACUAGGAAUCCUAAUACUACUAGGACUCGGUUUGGCUUUCUUUCCUAAUCCUACAUGAGCAACAUGAUUAACAUCUACAAGGAGGUGUUCUUGAGGUGGUCCGGCGCGUCCUCGAAGGAAUGCUUCCUGGCCAUGGAGAGGAUGGCCUUAUCGGCGACGAUGAAGUAGGCCAUCCCGGCGACGGUGGAAAUGAUGAGUGCCUGGCCAGUCGGGUUCAGGUGCGCCCUCGCCCACGGCAGCAUCC
This 77903-nucleotide long non-coding RNA is filed under the name Hordeum vulgare. RNAcentral's name for it is "long non-coding RNA (HVUL_LNC017614)". The stretch from base 56907 to 57031 matches the Rfam family "MIR1120/MIR1122 microRNA precursor family". Lineage: Eukaryota; Viridiplantae; Streptophyta; Magnoliopsida; Poales; Poaceae. The record is from RNAcentral.